UCCCACCAAAAAUAAUUAUAUAGUUAUCCUUGGGCGAUCUUGGAUCUUAAUUAGUACACUCACGUUCUCUGUGGAAAAUCGAUACUCUGGAAUACUCCCGGGUGAAAGCUACAUCGGUAUCCGUGCGCUUGCGGAUUUUUCUGUUUGCGUUUAAAAUACCCAACAAGCUUUCUGGCGCCGUUGCCGGGGAACGGUAGCUGUGCUAGUUUCGAACCAAGUCGUCCGUAUAUCCUUUUUCUUUUCCUUUUUUACCACACUCACCUUACCAUUUUCACCACACCACAUGGAUUUCACUCUAAGCAUUAAUGAGCAUGGAAUUUAUUUCAUAGCCACUUCAUUUACUCCAUGCUCAUAUGCAACAUCUUCACAAUCCAUUGGUCUCUCCAACAUCACCACAUUCGAGAUCUCCAACCCCCUCAUCCUUUCUAUUUAUAAAAACUUUAAAAGGGCGGUUGUCGAUGCAUAUGUCUAUAAUAAAUUUUGCAGAUCUCGUUGAGUUGAUCUUGAUAUAGGUCAGCGUUGGAGGGGAAACCACUUCGCCGACAUAAAUUGAUGGUUUCCCAAGGACAAGCUUAGAGUCCUAAAACAAGCACUGAUCAGAUCAUAACUUGAGCUUUUAAUUAUUUGUAUCAUUACCUUGUGUAUUGAGCAUAUAAGGAUAAUUGUAAAAAUAUUCCUUCGGGUAUUCUUGUCACUAACCUUUCCAGGAUUGGAGCAAGAAGAUCGAAUGAAUGACAAGCACAAGGUAUGUCCAACCAAUCAUCAUACAACAUUGAAUUGAAUUCAUCCAAACUUGAAUUUUGCAAAAUUCAAGCUUGGGGGAGUACUUUACAUUAAAACAUCCUUUGCCAUGUUGUUAUGUUGGUUGUCACUACCUUUGAGACAUGCUCAAUUUGUUAAAUACUAAUCACGCUACUUCAUCUCCACUUGAGUAGAUCUCUAUAAAUGCUCUCAUGCUACCUUUAUUUGCUUUAGUAUAUGUUUAGGUUUGGAGUAGUUUCAUUUAUCUCUUAAUUAAGCAUGGUGCUUAGUUUAGGGCUGAUGAUCUUACUUCCAAGGGUUUUUAAAUCAAGCUUGGUGCUUAGGUUAAAAUGCCCUCCUAAAUCAAAUUAGACAUGGUGUCUAGGUUGAUCUUUGAGCUGAUAGUAUGCUAUAGUAGAUAUUGGAUAUUUUGUUGGACUAACCCCUGCAGGAAAACUUUUAAUAUCGACCUGGGAAGUCCUGAGAUAAACUCACAUUGGAGACAAAGAGAGAGGCACAUGAAGUUUAACAAUCUACACAAGGAAGGCAUAGCUCACAAGAGAUGAUCCAUGGAGGGUGCUACAAACACGAUGCACAACCGCUAAGAAAGGAAAGCUUCCACAAGGUCAUACUGUACCAUCACUCUUCAAGUAAGGUAACAUCUUAAGGUACUUGUCUAUCACUUCUAUAAGCUUCUCCUUGGUUCUGACGUUCACAUGAAUAAAAGAGACAAACAUGUAUGAUUAACAACUCUAGAUUAACCAACCCAAUCGAUUCAACAUGUUUAGUCCUUCCACCUUUGUGAUCUCACACUCCUAAUAAUAUGAACUAAAAUGUUGCACACUCAAUCUUUAGAAAAUGAUAGUCAUGUAAAGAAAAAAACAUUUACUUAGAUAGAUUAUCUUUCCAUAAGGUUCAGUGAUCUGAUCUGACAAAUGUUUUAAAUGUUACACUCAUGAUCUUAUUAUCCAUCAACUUUGUCUUGCUCACUAUGCUUAAGGUUAGAGAGAACAAAUACACUUUUGGUUCUGUUGGUGUUUUCCACCAACAGGGCCCAUGCACUUGAUCUCUGCCUUGUCUCUAUGAGCAGGUACACUUCGAGCAAAAUAUGAAGGACUUUUAUAACUCCCAGACUCCACCAAGUGAAGUACCUAGAUCUACGAGCACAAACACACUGGAGAUACUGGACACUCAGGCAAUCACUGCCCUGAGAUGCUUGAGGACAUAACUACUAGAGUAACCCCGUUGUGGAAGUAAUUACUGACCUUCUGCCGGUCAAGAGAGGUGAUCUAGGACGUCCCGUGAUCCCGAUCUCCAUCGGCAUUGUGGACUUCCUAGAAGCACUCUGCAACUUUGACUCCAGCGUCAACAUUAUGCUCCGGGUACUCUAUGAAAAAUUCUUUACACAUCCUUUCCUAGAAACAACCAUGUGUUUGCAGCUUGCAGAUCGUACACUAAGUUUCCCAAAAGGAAUAUUGAAGAACCUCUACAUACGAGUUGGUACCUUGUACGCCCCAGCAGACUUCGUGGUGAUAGAGACUGAUACUGAUGAGAGGGCACCCAUCAUCCUAGGGAGGCCAUUCCUGAACACUUCGGGAGCUAUCAUUUACGCUAGUGCUGCCAAGAUCAGUUUCUACAUCAAGGGGAGGAAGGAGACGUUUUCCUUCAAAAACAAGACUACACAAAUCUCAGAGCAUUCCCGACAUAAACCAAGGAAGAUGAUCAAUAGGGGGAACAAGAACAAGCAAAUGUGGACUGAGUCAGCUAAGAUGGUCACUGCAGCUCAAGGAGGUCAAGAUCGUCAACUCAAGUCACCUUUCUUGAUCAAGAAGGACGACCCUAAGUGUUCCAAGCAUUGAGUGCACAAUCAACAGAUAUUCUUUUCAGAAGACACUAUAUGACACCGGAUCUAACGUCAACAUAAUGGCCGCAGUCACUUAUCAGCUCCUGUAUGGAACCAUGCCCCUACAACCAACAUACAGUCAGCUCUAGAUGAUUUUAAGGUUAUUGACAUGGAAGAAGACGAGUACGAUCCACCCAUCAUCCUUGGGAGACAAUUCCUCAGCACCAUUAAAAUAAUCAUCUACAUUGGAACCGGAGAAGUCCACAUGCACUUCCCCUCAGAGAAGGUACGCCACUGUUUUACUGACCCUAACUAUAUAGUUGACGACUCUAAGCAGGUCAGGACAAGAAGACGACGACGCAACCGCAACCAGAGGAGGCAAAUCAUCAAGGACGGAUGGGUAGACUAUGAAGGAGAAGUUGUAAGGUCUGAAGACAUACAACUUGAACAAAACUGUCCUGAGGAGACCGUAGCACCGAGUCAGGUGUGGAGAGAGAAGAUAGUUAUACACGAAGAGGAAGCACCGUCGGAACCACCGACUACGCCAUCCAGCGAAUCCCAGAAUGACUCAGGAAACGGAGAGUCCCGUUCGGAGGACUUAAAAACACCGAACGCCUUGCCAAGAGGUAAACUUGGUAGUUAUCCUUUUCCUUUCAAUUAUUUAAUAGUUUGCUUAGUUAAUCAGGUUCAUAUCAUCUUGAAAAGAAAGUAAAAAUAUUAAAAAUAGUAAGCCCCAUGUGAGUAUGCUCAUGACAUAAAACCCAUAAGUACAUUCACUGUGGUGGCGUAAAAAUGAAAUAAAUAUAUUCCUGUCCUAUAAAAAUAUAAAAAUAAAUUUAUGAUCCUACUAAAGAGAGUAAUAUUUAUUAGAGGAAGCUCAACAUGAUAAAGGCUAGAUAUUUAUGCUAACACUUAACUAGUUCCACAAAGCUUUAUUGUCUAUUUGAGCUCCACAGAAUUCAAGGAUCAAAGAAGACUAGCAGACUAGCAGACGAAGGACAUCCUAAUCGCUGUCAGGGUACUGCUGACAUUCAAAUAUACCUCCGUCACCUGCUAGCUACAUUAGAGGAAAUUACGUCAAAAUCCAGCUUGGGGGAGAGCACCCCCAUUUAUCGAGCUAAGUGUUUCUACUCACGUUUAUAUUUUACUCAAAUAAUAAAAAGAUGCAUAAUCAUAAAAACACAAAUAAAGAUUUUGUGCUUAUAUAUAUAUCUUUGCUUAGUUUGCUAAAUAAAUAAAUAAAUAAAGUUUGCUAUGAACCCUCAUGAUAAGCUCUCACAUAGAAAUGAUGAAUAGUUGCUCUGCCAUGAUUAGUUCUAAAAAUUGAAAUCUCUCUUAAGUUUAGGCAUGACUGUUAUUAAUUGAGAUUUGCUCUAAACCUGAACUUGUGGGGAGAGUACUUGAUCUGAAGUCUAAGUCGUUAACGGAUAUGAUAUGGAAAGGUUGAGCUGCUGUUUAUCUGUUCCUAGAGAUGCUAGAAUUCUGGAGAAUUUUAUCUUUGAAAAUCAUUAAAAUAACACAUGAUGAGUUCCUGUAUGAUGAGAGUUUAAUUUCCUACCACAGCCAUAUAUACAUGCUUAUUAGACUAUGAACCACACAUUUACUUUACUGCUUAUGAGCAUUGAGUAUGGUCAAGCUGUGUAGACCCUUAGGAGCUUGUCAUGUGGUUAAAUCAAGAUUCACUUGCACGUUCACUCAUACAUGCUACUUCUACUUCAGAAGUACGCAUCCACAUAUAUCCAUCCAUUUCCAUCUCCAAAACCACCCAAAAAUAUUCUACUCCUAAUCCGGGAGAGAAUAGCCAAAAAUAUUUCUGUUUUUCCCCUAUGAAAUAAAUGCUCGAGUUAUCUUGGUUACUACCACUUGCUACAUUAUUUUAAGAGAUGAGUGCUCUAAAAAAAAGAGAAGAGAGAAAAAAAAGAUACGAGGAAAUAAAAAGGGGCAAGUGCCCGGAACCUCGAAAGAAAAAAAAAGUGAGACGAGAGGUAAAAAUGGACAAGUGUCCGACAGUAUAAUUAGGGGUACAAGAUACCCACCUGAGAGGAAAGAAAAAGAAAAUACAGAGCAUCUCAUUCUCCCCAAAAGUUUCAAAAGAGCAAGGAAGGUAUGUAUCCCCUCAAAAGAGCAAAAGUAGAAUUAGACUUUCACCAUUGUUUCCACCAUUAUCACCAUCAUCACCAUUGUUAUCACCAUUCAUUCGCCACACAUGCACAUCUUGAUUUGACUUAUUGACUUGUUCUUCUGGAUCCAUGGUUUGACUAUACAAUAAAUGUCUUGUAAGUAUGUAUUAGCUGUCUCCCACCUAUGAGCUCCAGAUAUUAAAACCUUAUUAGAGUAGGGUGAGAGAGAAGGCAAUGUCACUAUGCCUCAUACCACAAAUACCACAUACUUUGAGAGAAGGCAUACACCAUCAAUGCCUUGGUAAGGAUCCAGAAAUACCACAAAAGAGAGACUAGAGAGAGUCAUACAAGGAAUCUCUGAGUUUUAUUUGAAAAUCUGCAAAAACUCCAGAGCUAUAGCUGAUCAAGAAUAAGAGACAUGGUGCUUGACUAGACCGUUCUAUCUUUUAACUACUCAAGACAGAAGUGACGGUUACAAGUCCCAUGGUGAAAGGUAAAUGAGUAAGUUUGAAGUCUUAACAGUUUACUCUAACCAGAGAUGAGAUCUUGUUUAAACGCAUGUGUAUCUUUAAGUUAUGAAACCACCGCAGAAACUCUUGAGUCAAUCUUUGCUCAGGGACGAGCAAAGGUUAAGCUUGGGGGAGCUUGUUGACGGUCCUUAAUGCUCAUAUUUAACCAUCAAUUAAUCAUAGAAAAGGACCCAAAUGCAACCAACACCUAGACUUAGGGUUUUAUCCGACAGAAUUCCACAAGUUUUGGUGUUUGUCUAUUUCUGCAGGGGGUUAUCAGGAAAUACGGAAGAAAGGCCCACACGUCGGGUUUACAUAGAGAUAUUAACGUGCCGCGUAAUUUUCUAUCAUCUAGAAGACUCCAGAAGCCACGGGACCGAAGCGGAAGACGAGAGGCCUCAGGGUCAGGGCGCCCACCCUAGUCCUGAGGGCGCCCGCCCUCCCCCCUGGACCAAUCAGGGUGAAGUUCGGGGAUCAUGCUCCACCGACCUAAUACUUCAAGGAAAACCACACGAUCAAUGUCGGUUUGAUCCGACGACCCAGAUUCACUUGAAGGGACUAUAAAACCAGACCCCCCUGGCCCCUGGAGAUCAUACCUCUUCUACAGAAUCAAAGUUAGGGUUUCAAUUCUUCAUCCAAGUAGAGAGGAUCCCUCUAGUUCUUCUAGUUCUACCUCUAGUUCAUCUAGAUCUAGUUCUAGUUCAUCUAGUUCUAGUUCUAGUUCUAGUUCCUCUAGUUCUAGUUCUAGUUAGUUCUAGUUGUAAUCUAGAAAAUAGGGAGAGAGAAGAGGAGAGCGGAGGAGGAGCCGGAUCUGUCGGAUCUUCCUCAACAUUGUACUUUUGCAGCAACUGGUUCGUUCUUCAUCGUUCUCCAGGUUCAUCAAUUCAUAAUUCCUGAGUUCUUUAAUUACUUUUAUUUACAUUCAAGUUAUUUAUUGGAUUCCCGCUUGCAUCAAGUGCUCUAGUCUUUAUAACGCUAGAGUAGUAAUUAAUAGAUUAGACGUGGUGUUUAGUCUUGCGAUUACCUGGAAUUGCACCCAAUCCCACGGAUUGUUGUGGUAGCCCUAGGGUAGUGACAGCCCUAACGGUCGACGUAUUCCACCACGUUCGGAUCGGUGUUUGUAGGACCGUAGUCAGACCUUCCUAGCCCCCUUCUCAUCUCUUUCUGUGGUUAGUGCUCUGAUGUCCCGAUAUAGAUAAUCUUGAAGUAAUUCUUGAUUCUUAGAUCAACUAGAGAACUCUCAGGAAACUUCCUCUCUUCCCACCAAAAAUAAUUAUAUAGUUAUCCUUGGGCGAUCUUGGAUCUUAAUUAGUACACUCACGUUCUCUGUGGAAAAUCGAUACUCUGGAAUACUCCUGGGUGAAAGCUACAUCGGUAUCCGUGCGCUUGCGGAUUUUUCUGUUUGCGUUUAAAAUACCCAACACUACAUCGGUAUUAAUUUGUGCGCUUGCAGAUCUCAUUUAUUAUUCAUUUAGAAGAGCAAUUGCAUAUUUCAAUACCGCGUCUCUCAUGUCAUGCUUGGGAUGACAACUCAGCUUAAGUGGCAUGAGGGAUAGGUUUGGCAUUUCUGGCGCUAUUAUCAGAAUUAGAAAACUAUGUCUACUUUUGGUAAUGAUGUUAAGAAUGCCCAACAAGCAUUUUUGGCGCCGUUGCCGAGGAAGGAUGAUUACUAAUCAGGAAUGAAUAUGGAAUUUCAAGUCAUCAUUCACAUCACUAAUAUGAUUGAGAUUAUCAAUUCUCUCAUAUAGUUUUACCCUGAUAUUUUUCUAUUUUAUUUUAUGCAGGGUAAUGUAUGAAUAGAAGACAUCUUCAAGGAAAUUUAGUUUACAAUCCCGAAGCGUUAUUCAGAAAAACAAGAGCCAUGCUCAAGAAGAGAUCAUCAACACUACAGCACGAAGCUUCAUCCAAUCAAGAAGAUCACCGAAGUUUCACCUGGAACUUGUCUUCAAAGUUCGAAGUCAUUGCGAACAGAUCAAUGAAGCUGUCACUAUCACGAACUACCCGACGAUCUGGCAUAUUGGGUACAAUCGCAGAUAAAUACGGUAUAAGCACCACGCCUACACAAUAUCUAUCAUUUACCCAUGGAUCUGAUGGAUAAACGGUAUACGAUCCUAAGCAUUUAUAUAGAUCCAAUCUAACUAAGCCAUGUACAUAACUAUGAUAAACUAAGAACAAUAUAAUCUUGAAAAUAAGCAAGUGAGCAAAGUCAUAAGCAAUAUAUUGAAGUAGAACAAAGUCAAAUUCAUAAUAUUGAAGAACAAAGAUAAUUAGAAAGCAAUUAGAAGCACAAUUAGAGAAUUACCAAGAAUCCUCUUGACAGAUCCGGAAACCAAUCAAAGAUUGACUCCUUCUAGUUCUAAUCCUAUGUAGCUAUGCUAAUCUAGAUGUCUAAUUGAUGUGGUGGCUCUAAUCUUGAUCAUGGGCUUCUUCUCCCAUGAGAAUAAUGAAUUAGGGUUGAGAGGCUUUCUCCUACAGGGGCCAGGGGGUCUGGUUUUAUAGUCCCUUCAAGUGAAUAUGGGCCGUUGGAUCAAACCGACUUAGAUUGAAUGGUUAUCCUUGAUCCUUUAGGUCGGUGGAGAUCUCCCACGAAGCAAAGUCCUGAUUGGACUCUCAGAAGGGGCGGGCGCCUAGGGCAGGAGGGCGGGCGCCCUGCCUGUGGCCCCGUUUCGCCUCCGCUUCGGUCUCGUGGCUUCUGGAGUCUUCUAGAUGUAAGAUAAUUGUGCGGCACGUUAAUAUCUCCAUGUAAUCCCGACGUGUGGGCCUUUCUUCCGUAUUUCCUGAUAACCCCCUACAGAAAUAGACAAACACCAUAACUCGUGGAAUUCUGUCAGAUAAAACCCUAAGUCUAGAUGUUGAUUUCAUUUGGAUCCUUUUCUUUGUUUAUUUGAUAAUAAAUUUGAUACUUAAGGACCGUAAACAAACUACCACAAGCUUACCUCUUGCUCGUCCCUGAGCAAGGAUAGACUCAGCGAUAGAUUAAAAGUUGUUGCAAUAUCUUUAAAAAUUGACGGUACACAUGCUUUUAAAUGAGGUCUUAUCUCUAAGUUAGAGUAAACUGUCAAGACUUAAAACUUACUUACUUUACCUUAACCAUGGGACUUGUAACCGUCACUUCCAUCUUGAGUAGUUAAAAGAUAGCACAGUCUAGUCAAGUGCCAUGUCUCUUAUUCUUGAUCAGCUAUAGCUCUGGUGUUUUUGCAGAUUUUCAAAUAAAACUCAGAGAUUCCUUGUAUGAUUCUCUCAAAUCUCUCUUUUGUGGUAUUUCUGGAUCCUUACCAAGGCAGUGAUGGUAUAUGCCUUCUCUCAAGAUAUGUAGUAUUUGUGGUAUAAAGCAUAGUGACAUUGCCUUCUCUCUCACCCUACUCUAAUAAGGCUUUAAUAUCUGGAGCUCAUAGGUGGGAGAUAAAGUAUACAUACUCACAAGAUAUUUAUUGUAUAGUCAAACCAUGGAUCCAAAGAAACAAAUCAAUAAGUCAAAUCAAGAUGUGCAUGUGUGGCGAAUGAAUGGUAUAUGGUGAUGAUGGUGAUAACAAUGGUGAACGUCUAAUUCUACUUUUGCUCUUUUGAGGGGAUACAUACCUUCCUUGCUUUUUGAAAUUUUAUGAGGAGAAUCAGAUGCUCUAUCUUUUUUUUCUCUUAGGUGGGUAUCUUGUACCCCUAAUUCUACUGUCGGACACUUGUCCAUUUUUACCUCUCGUCUUACUUUUUCUUUUCUUUCGAGGUUCCGGGCACUUGCCCCUUUUUAUUUCCUCGUAUCUCUUUUUUUAGAGCACUCAUCUCUUGAGAUAAUAUAGCAAGUGGUAGUAACAAGAUUUCUUGAGCAUUUAUUUCAUAGGGAAAACAGAAAUAUUUUUGGCUAUUCUCUCCCGGAUUAGGAGUAGAAUAUUUUUAGGUGGUUCUGGAGAUGAAAAUGGGUGGAUAUAUGUGGAUAGCACUUCCGGAGUAGAAGUAGCAUAUAUGAGUGAACGUGCAAGUGAGUCUUGAUUUAACCACAUGACAAGCUCCUAAGGGUCUACACAGCUUGACCACAGUAAAUGCUCCUAAGCAGUAAAUAGUAAAUGUGUGGCUCAAAAUCUAGCAAGCAUGUAUAUAUGGCUGUGGUAGGAAUUUAAAACUCUCAUCAUACAAGAACUCAUCAUGCAACAUUUUAAAGAUUUUCAAAGAUAAAAUUCUCCAGAAUUCUAGCAUCUCUAGGAAUAGAUAAAUAGCAGCUCAACCUUCCCAUAUCGUAUCUGUUAACAACUUAGACUUCAGAUCAAGUUUUCAUCCCACAAGUUUAGGUCUAGAGCAAGCUUUAAAUUAUAACAGUUAUGUCUAAACUUGAGAGAGAACUUAAAAUGUGCAAAUUAGCCAGAGCAACUAUUCAUCAUAUCCAUGCUUGAGUUUUAUUAUUAAGAUACAGAUUAGCAUAGCCACUUUAUUUAUUUAUUAAACACACUAAGCAAAAGAUACAUAUAUAUAUAAGCAUAAAAUCUUUAUUUGGUUUUUCAUAGUUAUAUUUUAAUAUAGUAUAAGUAUAAAUAUAGAUAGAAAUACUUAUCGGGAUAAAUGGAGGUGCUCUCCCCCAACCUGAAUUUUGACGUAAUUUCUCUUGAUGUAGCUAGCAGGUGGCAGAGGUGUAUUUGAAAGUCAGCAGCAUUCUGACAGCGAUUAGAAUGUCCUCCGUCUGCUAGUCUUCUUGAUUCUUAAAUCCUGUGGAGCUCAAAUAGACAACAAAGCUUGUGGAACUGAUUAAGUGUUAGCAUAAAUAUCUAGCCUUUAUCAUGUUGAGACUCCUUAAUAAUUAUUACUCCCUAUUUUUAUAUUUUCGUUUUAUAGAAAAGAAAUAUUUAUUUUAUUUUUAUGCCACCACAGUGAAUGUACUUAUGGGUUUUAUGCCACUCGUAUACUCACAUGGGGCUUACUGUUUUUCAUAUUUUUAUUUUCUUUUUAGAGUAGUAUGAACAUGAUUAACUAAGCGAACUAUUUGAAAUUAACUAAGUAAACUAUUUUAAAUAAUUGAAAGGAAAAGGAUAACUACAAAGUUUACCUCUUGCCAAGGCGUUUGGUGUUUUUAAGUCCUCCGAACGGGACUCUCCGUUUUCUCAAUUGUCCUGGGAUUCGUUGGGUGGCGUAGUCGGUACUUCCGGCGGCGCCUCCUCUUCCUAUAUAGUUAUCUUCUCUUUCCAUACCUGACUCGGUGCUACGGUCUCCUCUGGAUAAUUCUGUUUAAACUGAAUGUCUUCUGACCUUACAACUUCUCCUUCAUAGUCUGCGCAUCCGUCCUUGAUAAUCUGCCUCCUCUGGUUGCGGUUGCGUCGUCUUCUGACCUGCUUAGAGUCUUCAACGAUAUAGUUAGGGUCAAUAAAAUAACGGCGUACCUUCUCUGAGGGGAAGUGCAUAUGGACUUCUCCAGUUCCAAUGUAGAUGAUUGCUUUAACGGUGCCGAGGAACGGUCUUCCAAGGAUGAUGGGUGGAUCGUACUCGUCUUCUCCCAUGUCAAUAACCUGAAAGUCUGUGUAGACAAAAUGAUCGUCUAUUUUGACUGGGACAUCAGUUACUGUUCCUUUAACUUCUCGCAACGUCUGAUCUGCCAUCUGGAGCUGAAUGUAUGUUGGUUUUAGGGGCAUGGUUCCGAACAAGAGCCGAUAGGUGACUGCGGCCAUUAUGUUGACGCCCGAUCCAGUGUCGCAAAACGUCUUGUAGAAGCUGUAUCCAUUUAAGGAGCAAUAGAUGCUUGGCAUUCCUGGGUCAUCCUUCUUGGUCAAAAAUGGUGACUUAAGUUGAUGAUCUUGGCCUCCAUGAACUGCAGUGACCAUCUUAGCUUACUCGGUCCACACUUGCUUGUUCCUAUUCCUCCUGUUGGUCCUCUUCCUUGGUUCAUGUCUGGAUUGAUAUGGGAUUUGUGUAGUCUUGUUCUUGAAGAAAAAUGUCUCCUUCCUCCCUUUGAUGUAGAAACUGAUCUUGGCAGCGCUAGCGUAGAUGAUAGCUCCCGUGGUGUUCAAGAAUGGCCUCCCUAAGAUGAUGGGUGCCCUCUCAUCAUUUCCGGUCUCUACCACUACGAAGUCUGCUGGGGCAUACAAGGUACCAACUCGGAUGCAAAGGUCCUUCAAUAUUCCCUUUGGAAAACUUAUCGCCUGAUCUGCAAACUGCAAACACAUGGUUGUUUCUAAUAAAGGAUAUGUAAAGAGUUUUUCAUAGAGUACCCUGGGUAUAAUGUUGACGCUGGAGCCAAAGUCGCAGAGUGCUUCUGGGACGUCCACCAUGCCGAUGGAGAUCGGGAUGACGGGGCGUCCUGGAUCACCUCUCUUGACCGGCAGAAGGUCAGUAGUAAAUUCAGUGACAGGGUUACUCCAAUUACCUGCAUCAUGUCUACAAGAUGCAGAUUCUAAUCCUUCCGGUUGUGAUGGUAUACCGGGGUUAGUAGUAGGAACAGCAGCAGCUAUUUGAUUUAACUGAGAUUCAAUCAUUUUAUUAAAGCCAAUUUGAUUCUUGAUGGCAGUAGAGAAAUUAUCUAUUCUAUUAUUUAUAUUUUCUAGCAUUUUCUCAUUAGAUGCCAAUUUCUUAGAUAGAUUAUCCAUUAGCUUUCCUUGAUUAGACACUAACUCUCUCAAAGGUGGAAAAUUAUUAUUAUUGUUGUAAGAAUUAUUACCUUGAUAAUUACCUGAGUAGUUAGGCCUCUGUUGAUUCCAACCUUGAUUUUGUUGAGGACGGUUGUAGUAGUUGUUGUUAUUGUUGAUGUAGUUCACAUCCUCAAGCAUCUCAGGACAGUGAUUGCCUGAGUGUCCAGUGUCUCCACACUCCUCACAAGUGAUGUGAGAGUCGUAGGUAGAUGUGCAUGACUUCCUUCUUGUCUCCACCUCUAUCGUCGAGCUUCUUCAUGAGCAGGUCUAGCUUUGCAGACAACAUGUCUACCUCCUUGAGCUGAUGCAUACCUCCACCUCUCUUGCGUGUCUGGGUCCUCUCUUCAUUCCAGCUUUGGUUGGACGCCAUCUUCUCCACAAGAGCUGUGGCUUGUGGUAUAGUAAGUGAUAAGAAUGCUCCUCCAGCUGCAGCAUCCAUGGUCUCUCGGGCACUGUUGCCGAGCCCAUGAUAAAAUGUCUGCAUCAAUAGCCAACUCUCCAUUCCAUGAUGGGGACAUUCUAGGAUGUAGUCUUGAAAGCGCUCCCAUGCUUCUGGAACAGAUUCAUCAUUUUGUUGCUGAAAACUUAUAAUCUUCCCACGGAGAGCAUUGGUCUUGCCCAUGGGAAAGAACUUAGCCAGGAAGUUUGUUCAGCAUAGUGCCCACGUAGUAUUCUUCUCCUUUGUAGCGUAGAACCACUGCUUCGCUCUCCCUAACAGUGAGAAUGGGAAGAGGCGAAGUAGUAUAGCAUCUCUGGACACUCCUGAUAUGGUAAAUGUGUUGCAAAUCUCCAGAAAGUGUUGGAGAUGAGCACUAGCAUCUUCGUGUGCCUUCCCAGAGAACUGGUUGGAUUGCACCAUGUUGAUAAGUCCAGGCUUGAGCUCAAAGUUGCCAUCGAUCUCUGCAGCAGGUCCAGUGCGGAUGUUGUCCGUAGUGGGAGCUGAGAACUCGCGGAUUGAUUUGUUCGCCAUGGCUUCGAACUCCGAAGACAAGUUCCGGUGAUCUUCUUGAUUGGAUGAAGCUUCUUGCUGAACUGUUGAUGAUCUCUUCUUAAGCUUGGCUCUAGUUCUUCUGAAUAACGCUUCGGGAUUGUCAACAAAAUUUCCUGGAAGAUGUCUUCUAUUCAUACAUUCCCCUGCAUAAGAUAAAAUAGAAAAAUAUGGGGGUAAACCUGUAUGAGAGAAUAGAUAAGCUCAAUCAUAUUAGUGAUGCGAAUGAUAACUCAAAAUCUUUUAUUCCAUUCCUGAUUGGUAAUCAACCUUCCCCGGCAACGGCGCAAAAAAUUCUUGUUGGGUAUUCUUAUCAUCAUUACCAAAAGUAGACUUAGUUUUCUAAAUCUAGUAACAGUGCCAAAAAUGCCAAACCUAUCGCUCAUACCACUUAAGCCAAGUUGGCAUCCCCAGCAUGACAUGAGAGACGCGGUAUUGAAAUAUGUAAUUGCUCUUCUAAAUAAAUAAUGAAUGGGAUCUGCAAGCGCACAGAUUAAUACCGAUGUAGCAUUUUAACCGGGAAGUGUUCCAGGUAUCGUUAUUUAUAUUUUUACCACUAGAAAGGGAUUAGCAAUCAUCAAUAUUGAUUACAGAAUAGAAUAUGAGAUUGAGCAUCUAUCAUUGCAUGUAUAAUUGAGAACAUAUAUCUAACUCUUUCAUACAGGGAUAAGUGUCACAUAAAAGAUAUAUGAAAUAAUGAAUAGUGACAAAGAUAAUUAAUCUGAUCAUAACUUAGCCACAUAAUAAAUAUGAUAAGCACCUCAAUUAGAUACUCUAGAAAGUCAUUAGCAUGGAAUUAGAAUGAACUACAAGAAUAUUUCCUAAGUUAUUCUCAGCUAUAUAGUCUAGCAUUAUCUUAAUUAGUGCAAGCAUACUUAGCAAUCAUUGUGAGACAAGACUACGCCCAUGCAUAGUGAUAUUAGCAAGGAAUAUGAGAAACAUAGCAAUCACAACCCUGUAAUAAUAUUGCUCUGUCAGCCCAAUACACGAGAGGGGGACUAUAUAAGAAUCAAUGAAGCUGUCACUAUCACAAACUACCCCACGAUCUGGCAUAUUGGGUACAAUCAUAGAUAAAUACGGUAUAAGCACCACGCCUACACAAUAUCUAUCAUUUACCCAUGGAUCCGAUGGAUAAACGCUAUACGAUCCUAAGCAUGUGUAUAGAUCCAAUCUAACUAAGCCAAGUACAUAACUAUGAUAAACUAAGAACAAUAUAAUCUUGAAUAUAAGCAAGUAGAGCAAAGUCAAAAGCAAUAUAUUGAAGUAGAACAAAGUCAUAUUCAUAAUAUUGGAGAACAAAGAUAAUUAGAAAGCAAUUAGAAGCACAAUUAGAGAAUUACCAAGAAUCCUCUUGACAGAUCCAGAAACCAAUCGAAGAUUGACUCCUUCUAGUUCUAAUCCUAUGUAGCUAUGCUAAUCUAGAUGUCUAAUUGAUGUGGUGGCUCUAAUCUUGAUCAGGGGCUUCUACUCCCAUGAGAAUAAUGAAUUAGGGUUGAGAGGCUCUCUCCUACAGGGGCCAGGGGGUCUGGUUUUAUAGUCCCUUCAAGUGAAUAUGGGCCGUUGGAUCAAACCGACUUAGAUUGAACGGUUAUCCUUGAUCCUUUAGGUCAGUGGAGAUCUCCCACGAAGCAGAGUCCUGAUUGGAGUCUCAAAGGGGGCGGGCGCCCAGGGCAGGAGGGCGGGCGCCCUGCCUCUGGCCUCGUUUCGCCUCCGCUUCGGUCUCGUGGCUUCUGGAGUCUUUUAGAUGUAAGAUAAUUGCGUGGCACGUUAAUAUCUCCAUGUAAUCCCGACGUGUGGGCCUUUCUUCCGUAUUUCCUGAUAACCCCCUACAGAAAUAGACAAACAACAUAACUUGUGGAAUUCUGUCAGAUAAAACCCUAAGUCUAGAUGUUGAUUUCAUUUGGAUCCUUUUCUUUGUUUAUUUGAUAAUUAAAUUUGAUACAUAAGGACCGUCAACAGUAUGCCAAGCAUCCAGUGCUCCAUUAAUGGAUACAACUUCCACAAGACGCUUUGCGACACCGGGUCGGGUGUCAACAUAAUGGCCGCAGUCACCUGUGAGCUCCUAUUCGGAACCAUGCCCCUAAAACUGACAUACAUUCAGCUCCAGAUGGCAGAUCAGACAUUCUGAAAGGUUGAAGGUAUAGUAACUGAUGUCCCUAUCAAAAUAGACGAUCAUUUUGUCCAUAUAGAUUUUCAGGUUAUUGACAUUGGAGAAGACGAGUAUGAUCCACCCAUCAUCCUUGGAAGACCGUUUCUCAGCACCGUUAAAGCAACCAUCUACAUUGGAACUAGAUAAGUCCACAUGCACUUCCCCUCUGAGAAGGUACGCCGCCAUUUUACUGACCCUAAUUAUAUAGUUGAAGACUCUAAGUAGGUCAGGACAAGAAGAAGACGACGCAACCGCAACCAGAAGAGGCAAAUCAUCAAGGACGGAUGGACAGACUACGAAAGAGAAGUGGUAAGGUCUGAAGACAUACAGCUUGAACAGAAUUGUCCUAAGGAGGCCGUAGCACUGAGUCAGGUGUGGAGAGAGAAGAUAGUUAUACACGAAGAAGAGGCGCCGCCGGAACCACCGACUACGCUAUCCAGCGAAUCCCAGGACAACUGAGAAAAUAGAGAGUCCCGUUCGGAGGACUUAAAAACGCCGAACGCCUUGCCAAGAGGUAAACUUGAUAGUUAUCCUUUUCCUUUCAAUUAUUUAAAAUAGUUUGCUCAAUUAAUCAUGUUCAUACUAUCCUAAAAAGAAAAUAAAAAUGUUAAAAAUAGUAAGCCCCAUGUCAGUAUACAAGUGGUAUAAAACCCAUAAGUACAUUCACUAUGGUGGCAUAAAAAUAAAAUAAUGAUAUUUUUCUGCUUUAUAAAAUAAAAAUAUAAAAAUAAGAUUGUGAUCCUACCAAAGAGAGUAAUAUUUAUUGAGGAGGCUCAACAUGAUAAAGGCUAGAUAUUUAUGCUAACACCUAAUCAGUUCCACAAAGCUUUGUUGUCUAUUUGAGCUCCACAGAAUUUAAGGAUCAAGCAGACUAGCAGACGGAGGACAUUCUAAUCGUUGUGAGGUACUGCCGACUUUCAAAUACACCUCUGCCACGUGCUAGCUACAUUAGAAGAAAUUACGUCAAAAUUCAGCUUGAGGGAGAGCACCCCCAUUUAUCCCGAUAAGUAUUUCUAUACUUAUACUAUAUUAAAAUAAAAAUAUACAUAACCAUGAAAAAACCAAAUAAAGAUUUUGUGCAUAUAUAUAUAUAUAUCUUUUGCUUAGUGUGCUUAAUAAAUAAAUAAAGUGGCUAUGCUAAACAUAAUCUUAAUAAAACUCUAGUGUGGAUAUGAUGAAUAGUUGCUCUCCCUAAUUUUCAAAUUUGAGUUCUUUCUCAAGUUUAGACAUAACUGUUAUAAUUUAAAGCUUGCUCUAAAUCUGAACUUGUGGGAAGAGAAUUUGAUCUGAAGUCUAAGUUGUUAACGGAUAUGAUAUGGGAAGAUUGAGCUGCUGUUUAUCUAUUCCUAGAGAUGCUAGAAAUCUGGAGAAUUUUAUCUUUGAAAAACUUUAAAAUAUCACAUGAUGAGUUCUUGUAUGAUGAGAGUUUAAAUUCCUACCACGGCUAUAUAUACAUUCUUGCUAGACUUUGAGCCACACAUUUAGUUUUUACUGCUUAUGAGCAUUGAGUGUGGUCAAGCUGUGUAGACCCUUAGGAGCUUGUCAUAUGGUUAAAUCAAGAUUCACUUGCACGUUCACUCACACAUGAUGCUUCUACUCCGGAAGUACUCCUAAUCCGAGAGAGAAUAGCCAAAAACAUUCUCCUAUUUCUGUUUUUCCCUGUGAAAUAAAUGCUCGAGUUAUCUUGGUUCCUACCACUUUCUAUAUUAUUUCAGGAGAUGAGUGCUCUAAAAAAAAGCGAUACGAGGAAAUAAAAAGGGGAAAGUGCCCAGAACCUCGAAAGAAAAGAAAAAGUGAGACGAGAGGUAAAAAUGGACAAGUGUUCGACAGUAGAAUUAGGGGUGCAAUACCCAUCUGAGAGGAAAGAAAAGGAAAAUAUAGAGCAUCUCAUUCUCCUCAAAAAAGUUUCAAAAGAGCAAGAAAGGUAUGUACCCCUCAAAAGAGCACAAAAAGUAGAAUUAGACUUUCACAUUGUUAUCACCAUCAUCACCAUACACCAUUCAUUCGCAACACAUGCACAUCUUGAUUUGACUUAUUGACUUGUUUCUCUGGAUCCAAGGUUUGACUAUGCAAUAAAUGUCUUGUAAGUAUGUAUACUUUAUCUCCCACCUAUGAGCUCCAGAUAUCAAAGCCUUAUUAGAGUAGGAUGAGAGAGAAGGCAAUGUCACUAUGCCCUAUACCGCAAAUACUACAUAAUUUGAGAGAAGGCAUGUACCAUCACUGCCUUGGUAAGGAUCCAGAAAUACUACAAAAGAGAGAUUUGAGAGAGUCAUACAAGGAAUCUCUAAGUUUUAUUUGAAAAUCUGCAAAAACUACAGAGCUAUAGCUGAUCAAGAAUAAGAGACAUGGCACUUGACUAGACCGUUCUAUCUUCUAACUGCUCAAGACAGAAGUGACUGUUACAAGUCCCAUGGUAAAAGGUAAAAUGAGUAAGUUUUAUGUCUUGACGGUUUACUCUAACUCAGAGAUGAGACCUCAUUUAAAAGCAUGUGUAUCAUCAUCUUUUAAUGGCAUUCCAACAACUUCUGAUCCAUCACUGAGAUUAUCCUUGCUCAGGGACAAGCAAGAGGUAAGCUUGGGGGAGUUUGUUGACGGUCCUUAAGUAUCAAAUAUAAUCAAUAAAUAAACAAAGAAAAGGAUCCAAAUGCAACCAACACCCAGACUUAGGGAUUUAUCUGACAGAAUUCCACAAGUUUUGGUGUUUGUCUAUUUCUACAGGGGGUUAUCAAGAAUUAUGGAAGAAAGGCCCACAUGUCGGGUUUACAUAGAGAUAUUAACGUACCGCCCAACUAUCCAACAUCUAGAAGAGUCCAGAAGCCACGGGAACGAACGGGAGACCGAACGGGCCCGGGGGCAGGGCGCCCACCCUCCCCCCUUGGAUGCCCACCCUGGUCUAAGGACCAAUCACAUUCAACCUAGUGGAUCAUGCUCCACCGACCUAAAAGGAUCAAGGAAAACGAUGCGAUUAAUGUCGGUUUGAUCCGACGGCCCACAUUCACUUGGAAGGACUAUAUAAGCAGACCCCCUGGCCCGUGGAGGAGAGCACCUCUAUCUCUCGGGAGAAUAACCCUCUGAUCAAGCCCUAGAGCCACCACAUCAAUAGAUCUCUAGUUUAGCAUAGCUACAUAGGAUUAGAACUAGAAGGAGUCAAUCUUCGAAUGGUUUCCGGAUCUGUCAAGAGGAUUCUUGGUAAUUCCUCUAUUGUUCUUCAUUUGUUCAUCAUUGUUCCUCAAUAUUAUGAAUAUGACUUUGUUCUACUUCAAUAUAUUGAUUAUGACUUUGCUCUAUUUGUUUGUAUUUGCAAUUAUAUUGUUCUUAGUUUAUUAUAGUUAUAUGCUUGGCUUAGUUAGAUUGGAAUUAUAUACAUGUUUAGGAUCUGUUGACACCGUUUUUGGGCACGUGUCUAGGAUGGCAGGAUAAGGUGGCAGUACGAUGUUUACAAAGUGGGUUGCCGAUGAGGAUGGUUGCCGAUGAGGGAGAAGUUGAACGUGACUAAGUCCACAGGCAGUAAUAUUGUGCCGAUGGCUAGAUAAGAAAGUCUGCCGAUGACUAUGGCAAAGGGUCUGCCGAUGAUGCAAAGAGGGAGUCCGGAAGCUGCCGGUCGUUAUGUGGAGGAGUUUCGGUUUGUCACGAGGGAUAGUGUUGUUAUUUCCUUAAUUAUUUACAUCAUUUUAUAUACGGAUUCCGUGUAAUUUGGAAUUCAAAUUCUAAUCGUGUCUGGUUGUAGCUCUUUGAGCAGGGUAUAAAUAUAGACCCUAGGGCCUUGUAAUGAAAAAUCAAUCAAUCAAUCAAUCAAACACACGUUUUUACUCAUAUUCCAGCAUCUACUUUUCGACGACUUCGUCAUACUUUUUUCCUUUUGUUACGAGUUCUUAGGAAUUCGUCGACUUAAGCUCGGCGUGUUCUCAAGUUCCGCAUGAGUACCUCUUAGCCGUGACAUCCGGGCGCAUCGCUGUUGUCAGGACUAAAGUAUUCGAGUUAUCACCUUUGCCGAUAGCAAGGUCAAAUCGGCUGGCACGCCUUAACGUUUGAAUCGGGUAUUAGCCCUUUGUGUUUGCAGAUCAGUUUUGCAUCAACACAUCUUUUGGCACGCUCGGUGGGACCAGAUUCAAGAUCAAGAUCAACAUGUCGAUCUCUGACCUCGAUCAAGAGAACGUCAUCCCCGUGACGGAGGCCAACCUCAAGGAUGAGCAGAAGCAAGCUAUUGCCCAAGCCAUGGAAGAGUUCAAGCAGCAAUGCCUGAGGUCUUUCAGCAUAAACAGGAGUGGCGAAGUGGUCCAGAAAGAUGCACUGCCGGCACCACGGCAGGUUACCUUUGACGCCAAUCCUGGCAAGCUUCAAGAUAUGGUUGACAAUGCCAUCAAUCGAGCGUUGAUUAACCAAGCUGGUGUACUGUCUAAUACGGUUUUCAAUGCCGUGGCAAGAACUUUCAAGGAAGGACAAAUCCCACCAGAUUAUGUGGGCCCCUCCCAUCAUCAGCCAACGGCACCAGAGGUCACGGAUCCAUCGGCUGCUUUGACGACUGCAAGUGCACAAUCUGCCGUCCCUCCAAGUACAUCGGGGACUGCUGGUGCACUAUCUAUGCCGAUGACAACCAACCCACAAAUUUCAGUUGGGCAGCAUAAACUGACAACAGAUAUGUUGGCAUCAGCAAUGUCAGGGUUGACUCUUCCUCCCAACUGGUGGGGUUACGGUAUGCCUCCAGAGUUGACACCGGGAACAUCACAAAUAACUUACAUGAGGGGCAAAACUCCUAUGACAUCGGCACCUCCCAAUGCGCCGGUGAACCAGAGUCCUCGGUAUACCACAACUACUACUGCAAGGCCUCACACUGGAAAUCCUCAAGAUUCAAUGUUCCAGAUGCCCAACGCAUCGGCAGAGUCAAUGCUGAUGCAACAGAGGUCUAUGGCCCAGUCGGGGUAUGUCAAUUCAAUGACGGUACCCAAUUACCAAUCAUCGGCAGCACCUAUGCCGAUGAAUGCUAAUAAUGGAUGGCUUGGACAGCAAGCCUUUCCACAAUCGCCCCAGCAGAGUUACCAGACUACAGGGUUCCAGCAAGGGCAGGUCUAUCCCGGGUUCCAAGGUCAGGGGAUUCCCAACCAGCCAAUGAAUUUUGGACAGCAACUCGGGGGACAGCAACUCGGAGGACAGCCAAUCGGUGGACAGCAGUUUGGUGGUCUGCAGAUUGGAGGACAGGUGAUCAAUCCAAUGUUCCGUGCAGAUCACGUCCCGAACAGACACGUGGAGGUUCGCCACCAAGUGCCAGAUCCGCAGCCGCCUCAUCGGCAAGAUGCCGAUGCAUAUUGGGCCGAUAAGAUUGCUGAAGUAAUGAGGGAACAAUUUGGGAUAAAACCCAAAGUCAACACUUACUCUUAUCGGACACCGUAUCCUCCCGCGUAUGAUUUGAUCCCGCUUCCACAUCGGUACAAGGUACCGGAUUUUACAAAGUUUUCCGGGCAGGACGACACGUCAACCAUGGAGCAUGUCAACAGGUUCAUCAUUCAAUGUGGAGAGGCUGGUAACAGGGACGAAUUGAGGGUUCGUCUAUUUUCAUCAUCAUUGUCUGGAUCGGCCUUUACUUGGUUCAUAUCAUUACCUCCCAACUCAGUAAUUACUUGGGCCGAUCUAGAGAAACAAUUCCACAAAUACUUCUUUUCGGGGGUUCAUGAGAAGAAGAUCACCGACUUGGUCAAGUUGAGGCAACGUAAUGAUGAGUCGGUUGAGGGUUUUGUGCAGAGGAUACGAGAGGUCAAGAAUAAAUGCUAUAGCUUGGUUCUGGAUGAUCGGCAGCUAGCCGAUUUGGCUUUCCAGGGUUUGUUGCCACAUAUCAGGGAUAAGUAUGCCUCUCAGGAGUUCGAAAGUUUAAUUCAUUUGGUGUAGAGGAUUUCUGAUCAAGACAUCAAGCCUUUCGAGCCUAAAAGAGCACGGAAUAAGAAAGUGUCAUUUGUCGAUGAAGCAACAAGCUCAGAUUCUGAUGAAGAACCAGUAAUCGGCUUGGCAGAGUGGGUAAAAAACAAGAAGCCGAUGUCUUGUCCUUUUGGGCAGAAGGAACCAGAGAAGUUUGCUUUUGACACCGCUAAGGCUGAUAGGAUAUUUGACUUUCUACUUCAGGAAGGUCAGAUCAAACUGUCACCUAACCAUGUGAUCCCAUCGGCAGAAGAGUUGAAGAGGAUGAGAUAUUGCAAGUGGCAUAAUGCAACUUCCCAUGACACCAACGAGUGCAAAGUAUUCAGACAGCAGCUGCAAUCGGCUAUAGAGUCAGGGAGAAUCAAGUUUGACAGUUCCAAAGCCCAGAAGCCGAUGAAGAUAGACCAACAUCCUUUCCCGACAAACAUGUUGGAUGCUAAGGGGAAGGCUAAGGUCUUAACAUCGGAGACAGCUGAGAAGAGUGCAUCGGUAGAUCCUCAGCAUCAAGUUACUACUGCCGAUGCAAGAAGUAAGGGCUGGUCCAGGAAGGAACUAGCUCAGGAAGGCCUCCUCAAUCUGGUAUCGUCAUAACUCAUAGAAGGCCUCGAGAAAAUUGGCAACAACGGGAAGAUCGGUAUCGGCGCCAGCAGGAAGAUUAUCGACGGGAAGAAGAAAGACGCCGACAGAAGUGGAAUCGGCACAGGGAUCAUUGGAAUUGUCCAUUCUCCAUCCAUUGUUGGGAGGAAAAUAUCAAGCUUCCUACUGUCAGAGACUGCCCUGAGUGCAACGGUUAUGAUCGGUACGAUAGGACCGAUCGGCAUUAUCAUGAUGAUGAACGGCGAUUUAAUGGGCCAAUCAGAGGAAGGGUGUCAGUUCAUGACCGGCUGGGGGCAGAUUUAGUGGGCACGACAGACUUAGUGACCGUGUCCAGUAUUUUCCCAGGAACCAAGAAGAGCUCGAGGAAAUGGCUGAUGCGCGGGUUCCCGAUGAAUUCAUAUUUUGCAGGGAUGCUAACACGCAUCGUAUGGAGUCAAGGGAGAACCGACGCCCGACGGCAAGGCAAAGGCCACUUCCUCCAUGGUGCCCUAGAGGAUUAACCAAGACACAAAAAAGGAGAUUGCAACGUGAAAGGCAAGAGGAGCUAAACAAGGGAGAGAACUCUGGAAGUCGGCAGCCGUCAGACACUAAGAGGGAAGGUCCAUCGGCAGGCGUCAACAUGGUCUUCAUGUUGCCGAUGGAGUUUCUUGCACCAGCCAGUGAUGAUGAGUUGGAAUUUUCUGAUCAGAUAGCUCAGUUGGCUCUGGAUCCGAUGACGGCUAUCUUUGAGAAACCUGCCGAUGACGAGAGGCAGCAUCUUAAAGCUCUGUUCCUCAAAGGAAGGGUUGAUGGGCAGCCAAUGACCAAGAUCCUAGUUGAUGGUGGAGCUGCUAUUAAUAUUAUGCCGUAUGCAGUAUAUCGGAAGCUUGGGAAAGGGGAUCAAGAUUUGACCAAGACCGAUAUGAUGCUCAAAGACUUUGAAGGAAACGUGUCUCCAGUCAAGGGGGCGAUAUGUGUAGAGUUGACCAUCGGCAGCAAAACCUUGCCGACAACUUUUUUCGUGAUCAGCGGAAAAGGUGCUUACAACUUAUUAUUGGGAAGAGAUUGGAUUCAUGCCAAUUGUUGUAUCCCAUCUACAAUGCAUCAAUGCUUGGUUCAGUGGGUAGGUGACAAGAUUGAGAUUGUCCCAGGAGAUUCUUCUUAUGUUAUCGCAUCGGCAGAAGCGGAUACUUACGGAAGGACCAGGUGCAUUUCAGGAGAAGUUUGGGAGAAAGAUUUUCUCAAAGUUGCCGAUUAUGAGAUUCCACCGAUCCAAGCAGUCGGUUCUGACGACGGUUUUUAAUGGAUAGAUUCGCCGAUGAUGGAAAAUUAGGCCAGGGAUUCACAUCGGCCGAUGAUUUGGUAGAAGUAGAUAUAGGUAGUGGUGAUAAGCCUAGGCCUACUUUUAUUAGUGCUAAAUUAGAUCCUGAGUGUAAGCAACAGUUGACUAGUUUGUUAAAGGAAUAUAAAGAUUGCUUUGCUUGGGAUUAUACCGAGAUGCCUGGUUUAGACCGAUCAAUUGUUGAACAUCGGUUACCCAUCAAGUCUGGAUUUCGGCCACAUCAGCAACCAGCCCGCCGAUGUAAUCCUAACAUUCUACCUGAUAUUAAGGCCGAAAGCACCAAACUUAUUGAAGCUAAGUUUAUUCGGCAGUGUCGGUAUGCCGAGUGGAUUUCCAAUGUUGUUCCGGUUUACAAGAAGAACGGGAAGCUUCGGGUGUGCAUUGAUUUCAGGAAUCUCAAUAAAGCUACGCCGAUGGAUGGAUACCCAAUGCCUGUCGCCGAUCUACUGGUUGAUGCUGCGGCUAGUCAUCAGGUCAUCAGCUUCAUGGAUGGUAAUGCAGGUUACAAUCAAAUAUUCAUGGCGGAGGAGGAUAUUCCAAAAACCGCAUUCAGGUGUCCUGGUCAUGUUGGGCUAUUUGAAUGGAUAGUCAUGACUUUUGGGUUGAAGAAUGCUGGUGCUACUUAUCAAAGGGCUAUGAAUUUUAUAUUUCAUGAGUUCAUCGGCAAGCUCGUGGAGAUUUAUAUUGAUGAUGUGGUGGUCAAGUCUGGAGAUUUCUCAAAGCAUCUUGCCGAUUUACAAAAAGUGUUAGAGUGCACAAGGAAGCAUGGAUUGAAGAUGAAUCCCAACAAGUGUGCAUUUGGUGUAUCGGCAGGGCAGUUUCUUGGUUUCAUGGUACAUCAGAGGGGUAUUGAAAUUAGUCGAAGAUCCAUUGAUGCCAUCAAUAAAAUAGUGGCCCCUACCAACAAAACCGAGCUCCAAUCCUUGAUCGGCAAGGUAAAUUUUAUCAGGAGAUUUAUAUCGAAUUUGUCUGGUAAGAUUCGUGCUUUCAGUCCUCUUCUUAAAUUGAAAGCCGAUCAAGAGUUUAUUUGGGGAGAAGAACAGCAGUUGGCUCUCGAUGAAAUCAAGAAGUAUCUAGUAAAUCCUCCAGUUCUAGUUCCACCUCAAAAAGGGAAGCCCUUCAGAUUGUAUUUAUCUACCGAUGGAUCGGUUAUCGGUUCAGCUUUAGUUCAAGAAUUUGAAGGGAAAGAAAGGGUAAUUUAUUAUUUGAGUAGGAGGUUGAUUGAUGCUGAAACCAGGUAUUCGGCCAUUGAGAAACUAUGCUUAUGUUUAUAUUUUUCAUGUAUCAAGCUGAGACAUUACCUGUUAUCGGCCGAAUGCACUGUUGUUUGCAAAGAUGACGUGGUCCGAUACAUGCUAUCUAUGCCGAUUAUGAGUGGUAGGAUCGGUAAAUGGAUUUUAGCGCUGUCGGAGUUCGAUUUGCGUUACGAAUCGGCUAAGGCAGUCAAAGGGCAGAUUAUGGCCGAUUUUGUGACUCAGCAUUGCGGUAUAGUGGAAACCUUGGAAAUUGUACCCUGGACGCUCUUCUUUGAUGGAUCUACCUGUGACCGGGGGGCAGGAAUCGGCAUUGUAUUAGUUUCCCCUAAGGGGAGGAAGUAUGAGUUUUCCUUGCCGAUUGUUGCCACAUCAACAAAUAAUCAGGCUGAGUAUCAGGCUCUGAUCAAGGGAUUGGAGUUGUUAAGAGAAGUUCGUGCUGAUGCUGUUGAAAUAUUCGGGGAUUCUAUGUUGGUUAUAAAUCAAUUGGCCGGAAGCUAUGAAUGCUGAAGUGAAGUUCUCAUAACUUAUUUUGAGAGAAGUAUGCAACUGUUAAAGGAAUUCAAGGAUUUCCGAUUGGAGCAUGUUCCCCGAUUGCAUAAUGAAGACGCUAAUCGGUUAGCUCAGCAUGCCUCGGGAUAUCAGCCAAUGAUUAAUGCAAUAUCGGCAGUCGGUGCCGGUGAUUGGAGGAAAGAAAUUAUUGAUUAUCUAAAAGAUCCAUACAAAAAAGUUGAAAGACGGGUUCGAUUUCAAGCAACCAAGUAUGUGCUCCUUGAAAAUGAAUUGUAUUAUCGAACUAUCGACGGAAUUCUUCUCCGAUGCUUGGGUGAUGAUGAAGCUAGAAGUUUGAUGGGGAAAUCCAUGAAGGAGUGUGUGGAGCGCAUCAGUCAGCUUUUAAGAUGAAGUGGAUGAUUCGAAGGAAUGGAUAUUUUUGGCCAACCAUACUUGAGGAUUGUUUUAAAUAUUUCAAGGGAUGUCAAGGUUGUCAAAAGUUUGGUAAUAUCCAGAGAGCACCCGCAUCGGCUAUGAAUCCUAUAAUAAAGCCUUGGCCGUUCCGGGGAUGGGCCAUCGAUCUGAUCGGCCAGAUUUAUCCACCAUCUAGCAAAGGGCAUAAGUUCAUUCUAGUUGCCACUGAUUAUUUCACUAAGUGGGUUGAAGCUAUUCCUUUGAAGAAAGUCACAUCGGCCAAUAUGAUUGAUUUUGUGAAGGAGCAUAUUAUUUACCGAUUUGGGAUUCCCCAAACGAUUACUACCGAUCAGGGCACCAUGUUCACAUCGGGGGAGUUCGAUGAAUUCGCAAUCGGUAUGGGAAUUAAAGUGUUGAAUUCUUCUCCUUAUUAUGCUCAAGCCAAUGGGCAGGCCGAAGCAUCUAACAAAGGAAUUAUCAAGCUUAUUAAACGAAAGAUUGAAGAAAAUCCUAAGCGGUGGCAUACAUUAUUAAAUGAAGCAUUGUGGUCUUAUCGGAUGGCUUGUCAUGGAUUGACCAAAGUAUCACCCUAUCAAUUGGUGUAUGGACAUGAUGCGGUGUUGCCUUGGGAAAUUAAGGCUGAAUCUAGGCGAUUAUCUUUUCAAGAUCAAUUAACUGCCGAUGGUUAUGCCACUUUGAUGACCGAUGAAUUGGACGAUCUAGCAGGGCAUCGGUUAAAAGCUUUAAUGAGUAUAGAAGAAAAUAAGAAGAGAGUUGCUAGAUGGUAUGAUAAGAAAGUGAAGGCUAAAGAGUUUGCCGAUGGGGAUUUGGUAUGGAAAUUAAUUUUACCAAUUGGGACCAAAAGUUCGAAGUUUGGAAAGUGGUCUCCUAAUUGGGAGGGUCCUUAUCGGAUAAGUCGAUCGGCUCCUGGUAAUGCCUACAUUCUAGAAACCCUCGAAGGAAUUGAAUUUCCCAGAGCAUUGAACGGCAAAUAUUUAAAGAAGUACUACCCCAGUAUAUGGGUCGAUGCAUAGAAGUUUAGGUGCCGAUAACACUCCUAUCGGCUGGAUCCAAAUGUUUGGGGACAAGACUUGGUGUUUCAAAAGUUUAGGUGCCGAUAACAGUCCUAUCGGCUAGACUAAAAGCUGAGGAAGCAGGAAAGCGCAGAUAUAAUGCCGAUGGAAACUCUAUGUGUUAAGCAGCGUCUGGAUUGCCGAUAUAGCGCGUAGCCGAAUUUGGUUGGCUGCUUCUAUCUCCUUGAUGUCAUCAUCGGCAGAACCUUCUAUCGGCUUCAGCUUCUUCUUCAGUUGAAGUGCCUUGCGACCAUGAGCAUUUCGCUCGUGCUCAAGAAGCCUGAUGGUCUCUGGCAAUUGGCUCUCUUCCUGUUGGGCUUGGGACAGAGCGUUCUCUACUUCCUUGAGCUCCGCCAACAGGGAUUCUUUUCUUGCCGAUAGAUCGGAUAUCUUCUGCUUCAGCGCGUCUCCAGAAGAUCUCAGGAUACCGAUGUUCUUGUGCUUCUCAUCGGUCAAAAGCUUCUCUUUCCUCAUUUCAUCGGAGAGUUGAGUCUGAGCGGCUCUAUCGGCAAGACGCCGAGAAGCUCUCUGGUACUGCAGCUGGCGACUCUCCAGAUGAGCGGCUUGGAACAGGAUUUCUUCAACAUCGGCUGGGAUUUGGCCUCUGAGAGUUCUGAACAGGGUCUUGGUAGGGUCGGAAUCAUCAACCAAUUGCGCUGUGUCCUGGUGAAGGAGAGCUGACAAUUCUUCCAGCCUGACCCUGAUCUCUGCCGAUGUGAUGCCGACUGUCUGAGAAGAGCUUGCUUCUUCACCUUCUUCUUCAGAGAGAUCGAUGGCGAAGGAGAACAGGCUAUCGGGAGAAUCUUGUUCCUGGGAGGGAAAGCAAAAUUAGCUCAUAUUCAGAGAAUCGGCAAAUAGUGCUAACGGUAAACGGUGACUUACUUGCUUCAAGUCGAUCUCUUGUCUUUGACUGAGAAGUGCUGACGGAGCUGCAGGCUGAUCGGCCAAAGAUGCCGAUGGAACUACAGGUUGAUCGGCUGAGAUUGCCGAUGGAACGAUAUCAACUGAAAGAAGACAAAAGGAGUUACGAGACUAAAUGAGAAUAAGUUCAUCGGUAGCGAUAUUGUUAAAGUAUGUUACCUGGAGGAGGAACAACGGUUGUCUGAAUCGGGAGAACUGCCGAUGGUAUAACUGGACCCACCGGGCCAGUUGUUUGUUCACCCAUGUCAGCUGAUGUAUCUUCUGUUUGAGAUCCUUCCUGCUGGGGUUCUUCUAUCUGUGGUGCUUCCUGCAUAGGUGGGGGAGAUGGUGCUUGCUGUGGCUGGGCUUCUGGAGAAGAAGGAGAAGACUCCACCGGAAUUGGAGAUACCGGAGGAGGAGGGGGGGUUGCUACCUUCUGGCGCUUUGUUCCAGUCUUAGCACCCGUGGUGCCCUUUCUCUUUGGUUGGCUAGACUGGGGGGCAUCGGCACUCUCACGCCUGGCUUUCGCCGAUACGCCGGUUUGCUGCAAUAAUGAACAAGAGUUUAUAAGCAUAAAUAUAGCCGAUAUAAAGAUAGUCAGCAUAAAGGAAAAGAUUUGACAAAUUGCCUUGAAAGCCCGCGCCAGAGUGGGAGCAGCUACCGUUGGUGAUGUCUGGGUUCUUCUGGUGGUGACUUUCCUGAGGCGUACACCCCGAUGCACGAUCGAACCUAGAGUGGGAGCAUUGUGGCCGAUUGAGGAAGUCGGGCCUGAUGGAAACAAGUCGAUCGGCCUGCCACUCCUGCUAACCAAUGGAGGGAUAUUGUCAACCUGCAAAAGGAAUACAAGGGUAAGCUGCCGAUGGAAGUAAUAUUGAGAAAAUGAAACAUUGGUUUGAGUUACUUACAGUGUCAUCGGGAACUUCGUAUUCGGAGUCAAUCAUGCCGCGGUAUGAAAGUGCCGAUCUGCAGAAUAGAUGCUCUUUCCAUUCUGCCCACCAUAACUUGUAUGCCUGAGUGAUAAAAGCAGCCGGAACCCAUUCUGACAGAUCUACAUCUGUAUCGGUGCUUGGUGGUAGUUGGGCUACUCGAGUCCACUCAAGAAGGUUGUUGAUAGUUUCUCUGGGUUUUAUCACAUCGGGAUAAGGAAGUGCAAUCGGCAACUGGCCGAAAGCUAACUGGCGAGCUAAUGCCGAUGGAUUGUAAAAUUCGUAAGUCUGAGGGGAGGUUUUUGUGCUACCAAAGAAAUUCACUGGAAUGAUUCUGGGAGUCACAAUUGCCAUCAUCGCCUCAUUGUCCCUGUUGAGAGCUUCAUCAAAUGGAUUGAAGGUCAGAGGGAGCAUGCUAUCUGGGUCAUCAUAAGCCAACCAUGGUCGUUCGUCUCUGGCCAAACCCUCAUACAGAGUCUGGAAGAAUCGGCCGAUCUGAUCUGGAUUACCCCCUGAACCAGGCAGAACUAUGACAGCUUCGCCAAAGUUCAAGGGGGCGCGUGUUGCCGAUUCCUCUUCACCCAAUACAUGGUUUUCAGCUAUAUCUCUUGGGAAACGCUGUGUGAACAGGUUGAAGUUGAGACGCUUGUGCAGAUGCAGAUUGAGCCACAUGUUGACAAACCACCAGGGGCCUCCCAAGUUGCCAGUGGAUUGGCCGAGCAGAAGUUUCUGGGCUACUUGAUGGAGAAGGUGGUAAGCAGCGCCAAGCAAGUAUCGGCUGAGAGGGAAUCGGCCACCGUUAGCCAGUCUUUCUGCUGCCGAUAGGUAGACAGAAGUCGGUCCUGCCGAUCGACCACAGAAUACAAACUUGUCCAGCCACAUGUUCAGAAAGGUGGUUUGUUCCUUUAUGGUGACAGAUCCUUUCCCACGGUACUUCUGAAUGUACCCCGACCAACCGCCGAUAGCGCGAGUCUCCACUUUGGCACUAGGGGCAGUAUCAAAAAAGUGGGUGCUAUCGGCAGAAGAUAUAUCUAGACCAGUAAGCAUGGCUACAUCGGCAAGAGUAGGAGAAGCAGGGCCGUGGCCAAAGGCAAAAGCAUUGAGGGUGUCUGACCAAAAGUAGGAUGCAGCUAUCGGCAGUGACUCGUUCCUAUGCAUAUCGGCAAUGGACAAUCUAAUGCAUUGAGCUAGCUUCCUUUCACCCCACUGAACUUCAUUAGAGUUGCUGACCCUCAAGAACCAGUCUUUCCACCCUACAGUUGGGCUGGGCCAAGAGCGGAAGGUGUCUUUCCACAGAUCUAAGGAAAAAUUUUCGGCUCUGAAGGGGAUCCUGUUGGUUUCUGCGUUGAUAAGGUCAGUUGGAUCUAGGUCCCCUAGAGGGCCGAGGCAUUGAAGGUGUGGUUGAUCGGUGGGGAUGACAAUUUUGUUGGACAAUUCCUAGUGAUUUUGGGCGUAAAAAGAAAUACAAAGAGGAAAGAAAAGGAAGAUAUUCAGUAAAAUGAAUUGCGAGUGAACAGGGAUAUGAAGAAAAAUACAGAAGACGGGGUGGAGAUUUGACCUCAGGGACGACGAAACCGACGGCCAUCUUGCUGCGAAGGAAGCGUUUGAAGGCGCCGGAGUUGAUGAAGAGGGGUACUUGUCGGAGACCUUGGGAGUUUUUGGUGGCGCCGCCGCUGGAAAAGUAAAGUUGGGUAGUAGAAUGGUGUGAUGGGGAAGGAGUACCCAAGAAGGAACUAUUUAUAGGACAAAAUGGGCAAGGGCAAAUCCGACUUAUCUCUUUGCCGCAUCCGAGAAAUCCGAGGGUACUCAGGUGGAUAUGGUAACUGUUCGCACGGUAAUCCAGGGAUUGUGCAGGUGAUUUGACGGGAAGCGGUCAUUAUCUGAAGAUAUUUUACUGUGCGAGAUCUCCUGGUCGGUCCAUCGGCAGUAUUCUAUAACGGUCAUAUUGCCGAUGGGCGGAUAGAGGGGAAGUAACCGUUUGUGCGAAUAUCCUGGUCAGAACAUCGGCAGAUCUUUGUAACGGUAUUGUUGCCGAUGUACGGCUGAGAAAAAUGUCUGUUUAGGAAGUUGGGGAUUUCGAGGAAUCUGCGGAGGAAUAGGAUCAGAGUUGUUCAGAUUGAGGUUGUCGGUUAUCAGAUUAGGAGCAUUAAUUGCGGGAAAAGGCAUCAUUACUGCAGAGAAUUUCGGAGCAUUAAUAGUUUUAUACUCCGAAACUGGGGGGCAUGUGUUGACACCGUUUUUGGGCACGUGUCUAGGAUGGGAGGAUAAGGUGGCAGUACGAUGUUUACAAAGUGGGUUGCCGAUGAGGAUGGUUGCCGAUGAGGGAGAAGUUGAACGUGACUAAGUCCACAGGCAGUAAUAUUGUGCCGAUGGCUAGAUAAGAAAGUCUGCCGAUGACUAUGGCAAAGGGUCUGCCGAUGAUGCAAAGAGGGAGUCCGGAAGCUGCCGGUCGUUAUGUGGAGGAGUUUCGGUUUGUCACGAGGGAUAGUUUUGUUAUUUCCUUAAUUAUUUACAUCGUUUUGUAUACGGAUUCCGUGUAAUUUGGAAUUCGAAUUCUAAUCGUGUCUGGUUGUAGCUCUUUGAGCAGGGUAUAAAUAUAGACCCUAGGGCCUUGUAAUGAAAAAUCAAUCAAUCAAUCAAUCAAUCAAACACACGUUUUUACUCAUAUUCCAGCAUCUACUUUUCGACGACUUCGUCAUACUUUUUUCCUUUUGUUACGAGUUCUUAGGAAUUCGUCGACUUAAGCUCGGCGUGUUCUCAAGUUCCGCGUGAGUACCUCUUAGCCGUGACAUCCGGGCGCAUCGCUGUUGUCAGGACUAAAGUAUUCGAGUUAUCACCUUUGCCGAUAGCAAGGUCAAAUCGGCUGGCACGCCUUAACGUUUGAAUCGGGUAUUAGCCCUUUGUGUUUGCAGAUCAGUUUUGCAUCAACAGGAUCGUAUAGCGUUCAUCCAAGUAUAGAGUGGGUAAAUGAUAAGUAUUGUGUAGGCGUGGUGCCUAUACCGUAUUUAUCUACGAUUGUACCCUAUAUGCCAGAUCGCGGGGUAGUUCGUGGUAGUGACAGCUCCAUUGAUUCUUAUAUAGUCCCCCUCUCGUGUAUAGGGCUAGCAGAACAACAUUAUUACAGGGGAGUGAUUGCUAUGUUUCUCAUAUUCCUUGAUAAUAUCACUAUGCAUGGGCGUAGUCCUGUCUCGCAAUGAUUGCCAAGUAUAAUUGCACUAACUAUGAUAUGCUAGACUUUAUUGUUAAAAAUAACUUAGGAAGUAUUCUUGUAGUUCGUCCUAAUUCCAUGCUAAUGACUUGCUAGAAUAUCUAUUGAGGUGCUUAUCAUAUUUAUAUGUGGCUAAGUUAUGCUGAUCAGAUUAAUUAUCUUUGUCACCAUUCAUACUUUAUCUAUCCUUUAUGUGACAUUUAUCCCUGUAUGAAAGAGAUAGAUAAAUGCUCUCAAUUAUACAUGCAAUGAUAGAUACUCAAUGCUAUAUUCCAUUCCAUAGUCAACAUUGAUGUUUAGCAAUCCCUUCCCAGUGGUAAAAAUAUAAAUAACAAUACUGGGAAUUCUUUCCGAUUAAAAUGCUACAUCGGUAUUAAUUUGUGCGCUUGCAGAUCUCAUUUAUUAUUCAUUUAGAAGAGCAAUUACAUAUUUCAAUACCGCGUCUCUCAUGUCGUGUUGGGGAUGACAACUUGGCUUAAGUGGCAUGAGGGAUAGGUUUGGCAUUUUUGGCGCCGUUAUCAGAAUUAGAAAACUAAGUCUACUUUUGGUAAUGAAGUUAAGAAUGCCCAACGCCGUACUCAGGGUUCUAUAACCCCUAUUGUAGGUGCUGACUUAUGCUGCUAAUGGCAGUCAUGUCGGUGGGCGCGACAUGAUUUGUCCACCUCUUCUACCUUAGAAGCAUCACCUAAGUUGCUUCCACUACUCUACACACCUUUUAGAAAAUUAGUUAAGUUUUUACUUCAUCAUAUUUUGUAAAUUAAGUUAUAAAUCUUCUGCACUCCGAUGUAAGUUCUUUUCGUAACAAAUGUUGAUCCUGUAUGAGUGAAAAAAUGUGGAUGAUUCGGGGUCCUCUGAGGGCACCCAACAGACUAUCCGAGUUAUAUGACUCUCAUGUGCAGUAGUCAGAGGUCUUAAGGACAAUGACAGGUGCAUGUGGGCCAUAUAAUUAGGGUGGUUCUACCAUAGAGUGGUAUCGGAGCUCAUACAUGGAUCUUCUGCAACAUAACUUGUGAAAAGUUCAAAAGAAAUUUACAAAUUAAAAGUUUUUGAGGAUAACAACUUAUAAAUAUUCCUUAACUUUUCUUAUGCUUGCUGUCCAAGUUCUACGAAGACUUUCUGCUAACUCAAAUAGAAGGCAUUGAAAGAAGCUUCAAGUCUUCGGCAAGCCAAGUGAAGUAUCAGUCUACUCCAACAAUGCUUUAUCAACAGUCUUGCAGCCUUCCAUCUGAAGCAAUAAAGAUAAUGUAUAAAGUAUGCCCUAUAUAAGUAGUUACCUUCUAGCUAACUAUUGAUAUUUGGUAACGCAAUCAGGAAUUAAUCGGCAAGCACACGGAUAUCGGUGAGCACUUCACCCGGGAUGUUAUCUAGAGUAUCGUAUUUAUAUUUUUACCGCUAGGAGAAAGGGUGCAUCUGACUAACCAGGUCUAUUACUACUAACCUUUAGGAUACAACCACUAUGACUCGAUGUGAGUGAUGUAUAGAGAAGACUUCAACUGCACCCUCAUUCUAACCUUGGUAAGGAUGAUCUACUGUUCUAUUGGGGAGGCUCACGGAAUCUAGGCACCACAGAGAAUGUUCGACCCGCACCUAUAAACUCUAUCGAUCCUGCUAACGGGAUUAUGGGCUACAAUGGUAACUCGGAAAUGUCACGUUCCUUGCUACUACCACGGUCCGGCUAGACGGGGGAUUUCUAUGAGUAUCCUAGCCCAAACCCCACGUUUACGCUAGAGAUGAUUACUCUGAACUCUAUGCGAAGAGAUCAAAGUAAACUCAUAAACCAAAGAACAAUAAAACAAAGAACUUACUAGAAUUUAGAAGUCGAAAUACUGAAGAAUCCUAGGAGCAAGCCUCGGGUUAGGAGGCUUGAUCCCGCAGGUACAACCUCGGAGUAGACACUGAUAGGCUGGGCUUCCUCUGAUCUACACCUCCACUCUAUCUCUCUCAAUCUAGUAGAACUAAUUCUACUCUCACAUUAGAUGCUAAGCCCUAUGAGGUUGGAACCCUAAGGAACCUCUCUCUCUGAAACCUCUCUGGAAAUUAUGCUAAUGAAUAAUGGGGAUUCGAUUUCUCCAGGGGCCAGGGGCCUUGCUUAUAUUGCCCUCUCAAAUGAAUCUACGCCGUCGGAUCAAAUCGACCUUAAUUGAAUGGUUCUCCUUGAUCCUCAAAGGCGGUGGAGCAUAAUCCACGUGAUGCACCCUGAUUGGCCACCAUAGGUGGGCGGGCGCCCAGGGGGACUGGGCGAGCGCCCUGCCUGUGGGCCCGCUAGGCCUCCUGCUUGUUCGUGUGGCUUCUGGAACCUUCCAGUCCGAGGAAAAUUAGCGCACAAGUUAAUAUCUCUAUGUAAACCCGACGUGUGGGCCUUUCUUCCAUACUUCCUGAUAACCCCCUGCAGAAAUAGAUAAACAGCAAAACUCGUGGAAUUCUAUCAGAUCAAACCCUAAUUCUUGGCGUUGUUUGUAUAUUGGUCCUUUUCCUUAUUUAUUUCAUAGUUAAAAUUGAUACUUAAGAACCGUCAACACUAACAUUGUGAAGACGUAUAGGGCGAGCAUACAUCAUAUCAUUCACUUCAAAAUAAUGAUACAAGGAUGUUAUAGAUUCCCUUUUUAAUCCAGGACAACUAUUCUCCUUAUAGUUGUUCUAUUCAAUAAAUCCCGUCAUGUGCCAGGUUUCAUCCAAUUAAAUAUCCUUUUGACAAUCCUUGCUCCACAAAGUUCCCAUCCUUGGGGAUACUUCUGGAUUCAUAUAGAUAGAUCACCAACAUAAAUAUGAAGACCUGAGAUAACUCCUUGACUUCUCAAAUCAUACAUGUGUCACACCUUGAUUACUUCUACUCUGACACAUGUCCUCCUUUUAACUCUAAAUACCAACAAAGGUUGUUGAGAGCUAUUGUAAACGUACUCUAUAGUAGGUAACAUGAUCCGUGAUCACGUUAUAGCGUCGAACCUUGUAGUCUCCUGUGGAACCACGGCCAUAAGGAAAUACUACCAGGUGCUCGUUAAACAUUCGGAUCUCUGGUCAUGCUCCACUAUAGUCUACAGUUAGUGUGCUUUCAUUCUCCUUGGAAGCUCAUUUGGAGAACUAUAUCUUCUUAUGAAGUCUUUAAAAUUCCUGAUUAAUUACAACAUAAUGUUGAUGUUAGUUGUAAUUCUCGGACCAAUUGCAACUGUUUUAUGAGCUUCUCAGAAGUUAAUGUGCUUGACACAUUUCCUUUUCCAUUACACAACCCCACGGGUUUUAGUACCCUAGAAAUCUCAGGACGAGAUUUCUUUAAGGGCGAAGGGCUGUAACAUCCCUGAUGUUACGGAUACUAAAACUAGAUCAUAUCAUCAUAAGCAUUACAUAGCAUAGUUGUUAGGCACAUCAUGAUGUAUCAACUUAAAAUAAGUUUAUUUUGGUUGACUUUGCUUAGGAAAUUAAAGUGUGUUUAUUUUGUGAAGUGAUGCUUCUCAUGGUUGUUUAAUCCCUAGUUAAGGAUGUUGGUAAGGAAAUAAGGGAGAAAACCCUAAUUUUAAACCCUAGCUUCCCUUUAGCUUCGCCCAAAACCCAGCUACCUCUUGAGCUCCCCUGCGAGCGCUCUAACCCGCCGUAGCGCCUGCUUCACCCAUCUUUCUCAACUCCGGCAAAAAGCGCUGCCGAGGAGAACCUCACCGUGGUCAAGCCACUCUAGUGCAUCUCCGCAGCUGAGAGGCACCUUUACACAAUCCUGGUGAGUCACUAAUGCUCACAUGCAUAUCAUUUCAUGUUCAACCACCCUCUCCUGGCCAGUAUAGCGUCGAUGAAUGCUACCGUCCGCCAUGGACGGGGUCUAGGUGGUUUGGGAGAGGUAGAGCAUGGAUUGAGGACCUUAGCAUGUGCGCAGGGAAGUGGAGAACGAGUGUGCUUUAGCUCGGGGCAGGAAACUCGACGGAGCCACGGGGAAGCUCGGCCGAACCAUAUCCGCUCGUCCCGGUCGAAGGUUGAAGACGACCCUGACCAAGGGGCCCCGCACGUCAGCGACCAAUAGAGGGGGAGGGAGGAGCAGGACGCGCGCGUGGGCCAGCUGGCAGGCUGAACUGUUCGGCCAGCCUGUGGGCUGUCCGGCCUCGGCACAGGGGUGUUUUCUUUUUCCUUUAUGUUUGAAAAGGAUUUGUGUUUGAAUUUGUAUAGAAAAAUUUGUUUAGAUCAAAAAAUGAUGAAACUUUUUGUAUAGGUUCUGUGUAGUGAGUAGAGCAUAGGAAAAAUAUCAGAUGUCAUUUUCAGGUACUUUUAAGCAUUUAUAAAAAUUCUGUCCUGUAUUUAGUAAAUAGAAUUUCCAUGAUUUUUAUUAAUUUAUAUAUAUAUGUCUAAAAAUCACUAAAAUUUGUGAGGUGUCUCUGAGUAAUAUUUCCUGGCUUCACAAAAAGUUUGGUGGUAUUUGGAUAAUGUUUGAAUAAAAUAUUAAUAUACCAUUAAUUAGCAAUUAAGUAAUAAAUCUAAAAUAAUUAGAUAAUAAUUAGCUCAACUUCCAAAUUAUGAUUUGAGUGAUUUUGGGAUUGUGUGAUGACCUGAGCUCAACUAUAAUGACCUUUGGCAUUUAAUUAUUGUUUGAUAUUAAUACUUAAUUACUGUUAUUAAUGCUUAAUUAAAGAUUAAGUAAGAUAAAAGGGAUUAAUAAUUAGUUAAUUAAGAAUAACUACAAAUUAAGAAAGGUCUCAGCUUACUGUUGCAACCUCUUUGGUAAAAACACUAAAGUGGUAAACAACCUUUAAUCAUUGUUUAAACCUGCUUUUGCACUGAGAGAGAAAGUUGUACUCAACUAAAUCAUUAUUAUAUGUUAUCAUAAGCAUAUCAUAGCAUACAUCAUUUUACGUAUAGUGCACGUGACCGAAGGAGCAACCGUUGAACCAAACCCCGAGGUUGGUGUUCCGUUCGAGGAAGUUGGAACCAAGACUUGGGAAGUCUCUGAGGAACCCACUCACCUCUGCAACCAAGGCAAGCCCCCGAAUGCAUUCAACCUUUCCUUGAAUAUUUUAAAUCUUUCAUCAUUUAUGAAUCAAAAUGAUGCAUUACGUAGUCAAGAAUUGGGUUUAACCUAUUUGUUCCAUUUACUACCUUGAGAUUUGUUAUCCUGUCCUUGGCACUUGUUUAUUUUAAAAUUACGUAGUGAUGCUUAGCCCUGCUUAAUAGAUAGGUUUUCAAAUAAGAAAGUUUGAAGGGUUGUUGUGGAAAACUUUUAUUGUCAAUAAUAUUUCAACUUGAGACCGGUUCAGUGGAUUUGCUUUAAGAAUGGAGUCUUAAAGUAGUGUCUCCAACUUUGUCGAUUAAGGACUGGUCCGUUGAUGGCCUGCUGGGUUGAGAAUUUAUUGUACUAGUCACUUGCCCUCGGUAAGCCUGGUCUUGUGAUUCCUCGACGAGAACGGCUACUCGCGCACUGGGUGUGGAGCGAUGGCGAGAGUAGCGUGUACCCUCCUAGAAAAUGGGCUAGACGGUGGAGUACUGUGCUCUCGGGUGCCGCGAACCCGGUCAAAUCUUGGGAAAACUAGAUUUGGGUUGACAUAUGCAAGAUUCGGUUCUACAUAUGUCAGGUAGUUAGGAACUCCAGCUGGAUUGCUAAGCGGUUCGAAUCGUCGUUGCUCCCUGAUUGGGAGACUCAAUCCACUUACCCCCAUUGUAGUUAAAUAUGCAACUAAGUUAUGAAAUGGGGAAAAAGAAAAUGUCUCAUGGAGUUCGCAUCCCAAUUCCCGGACUCAGAGUGACGUGAAGCUAUGGCCGUCGGAUGAAUAACACUUUUGUUAAGGACUAGAAAUUCACAGACUUGUCUGUGAAAAGCAACUAGAUAGACUGUCCUCGAAUUCCUCGGCCUCUCGAGGUGACCGAUUCGAGGCUAAAACUUGAAAGUAAGGAUGCACUAUUAGUAUGAUUUUAUGCAAAACAACUUGGUUCCUUGCUCAGCCACUCCUUGUCUACCCUAAGCCUGCAUUCCUAAGUUCUCUUUUUCCGUCGGGUAAGUCUUGUUGAGUAUUCCCGUACUCAGGGUUCUAUAACCCCUGUUGCAGGUGCUGACUUAUGUUGCUAAUGGAAGUCAUGUCGGUGGGCGCGACAUGAUUUGUCCACCUCUUCUACCUUAGAAGCUUCACCUAAGUUGCUUCCGCUACUCUACACACCUUUUGGAAAUUUAGUUAAGUUUGUACUUCAUCAUAUUUUGUAAAUUAAGUUAUAAAUCUUCCACACUCCGAUGUAAGUUCUUUUUGUAACAAAUGUUGUAAUGUUGUGGUAACUCCAUGUUGAUCAUGUAUGAGUAAAAAAUGUGGAUUGUGCGGUUUUAUUAUGAGAAAAAUAAUUCCAAGUGAUGGAGCAUAUUUUGAUCGUGCGGGCGAUUUAGCAAGUGAUAAAUUUAGAGCGCUGACAGACAUAGUAGGUCUAAAUCUGAAGCGAAAUGACAUGUAAACAUUGUAUGGUUGUGCGGAUAACAAUGACGUGUAUAUAUGUAAUUUUAUGGUUGAUAUUUGAUUUCAUGUUUACAUAUCUACUUUAUAUAUGUAUAUAUAUAUGUGACAGACAUAGCACUGUAGUGUGGUGGGAAAAAAUAAAUUUAAAAUAUAUAUAUAAACUUAUUUACACCAGCGGUACAAUGUGAGCCGCCUGUGAAAAAUAGGUUUUCUCACGCGGCUCACAUAGUUAGCCGCCUGUGUAAACAUACAUUUCCACAGGCGGAUUACUAAGUGAACCGCCUGUGAAAACCUAAUUUUCAUAGAUGGCUCACUCUCGACCCUGUGUACUAUGGUCGAUUUGUACUGACCCCUGAUACGGGCGGUGGGCUUGGCCGCCUGUGCAAGUCGAUUUGUACUGACCCCUGAUAGAGGCGGUGGGCUUGGCCGCCUAUGUAAAUGCUUCUACCACCGCCUGUACAAAUGUUUUGUGUACCAGUGCGAAAUUUGACAUUUCCUAGGCUUUGGAGGGACCAGUGGGCGGUUUGCAUGGCCUAUUGUAUCCUAUUUACAAUGUGUUUUAGUCUUGUUCUUCUAUAAAAAGCACUCUAGACAUGUACCACAAAUACUAUAACAAAUGGCUACAUGUCCAAUUGCAAAUCAUACGUAGUAUUUUAAGAAUUUUAUAUACGACACGGGUUACCACAGAUAGAUGCAGCUUCUACAUAUUUAUAUAGUAAAAGUUUUACAUGUCGUAAAAUGCGCGUUUUGUAAUAGAACAAUUUUCUGAUUGGAUUUUACAAAUAUAUUUUCCAACCGACAAUAAUAUGGAGAAAAGGCUCGAAAGACCGUGGCGUCCCAGUCCGAGACGAUCAAGUGGGUUUUGAAGGUAUUGGAGUAGCUCAGAAGGUGGCGGAGGCUCGCGGCGGCGUGGACAAAUACGAGCGAGUGUCCGUCCAGAACUGAGCGCUCUUGACCUUGGAGAUGCUGUUGAGGACGCCUAGCGGUGUUACAUCUCCCACCACCGUCACCUUCUUCGUCGCGAUGUCGAUGUCAAAAGAAGUAACCCCUGGAUUGGAUGCAUGCAUGCUCGUAUGUGUUAGUUAUCGAAACUCAACUGGAGGUGAAGGGAUAAGAUGAGUGAAAAGUUCACCUUCCAUCUUGGAGAUGUGCUUCUUCACCUUGCCAGCACACCCCUUGCAGUGUAGAGAUACCCUCAAAACCACCACCUGUAUGUUGGCAAUUACAAGUUCAUGCAUGCAUCGAUCAAUAUCAUCAUCGAUGAAGCAGGGCGUAACGUUCUCACCUGGUUCUGGCCUGUUCUCGUGGAACAUGAUCUCACCACGACAGUGUUGUCACCGGCAACGACAUGGCCUCUUCCUAUUUCUGACGAUGACGAGGAGGACCCUGCACCUGAUGCAGACGGCUCGGCGAAUAAUUCCACUGGCGGCGCCAGGAGCUGAGGCCUCGAUGGACCAGCCGGCAUCACGGCAUCGCCGUGGCUGGUUGGGAAUAUUUCGAUGUCGUCGUCGGCGUCCUUAAUGAAGGAGGGCCGCGGGGACGGAAGUGGCGGCAAGGAGUCGACGACGGUGAUUUCGUCGUCGGACUGCAUCAUGAGCCUGGAGGAGUUGAGCAGGAACCUGGACGAGCUCGCGGGGCUCACCUGCUGGAGCUGCACCUCCUUCUUCUUGUUUUUCCUAUGCUCUGACGACGGCGUCGUCGACGAGCAACCCCUGCCACUACCAGCGUCUGCUUCUGUGCUCUUCUUCUUCCUUCUGUCUUUGCCAUCGUCGUCGUAGUGGCAAAGCUGCUGCUGCUUCAUGGAGGUGGAGGAAUCUUUGGCACUACUGAAAGGAGAGCAGGGUGGCUUGGGCAGGGAUGGCGGAAGACGCCGGUGAGAGUCACGAAGGCGCGGAGAGUGGCGGUCGAUGGCGCGGCCAGUGGAGGCGACGACGGAGGUGGACGCCGCGGAGGAGCAGGACAGGCCAGAGAGGCCUAGCAGCCUCUCCUUCACGUACCUGUCCUUCCAACGCAACAAGGAAGCCAUGCAUCAACGAACCAGCAAGGAUCAGAGAGUGUCUAGCUAGCUGACUUGAGUUCUUCUUGGCUCUGGCGCUCUGCUAUGCUUGCUCUCCCUGUUUUGGGCUGGUGCCUUGCCUUCGUACGUGGACGCGCGUGGUGGGUGGUGGAUGGUGCACGCAUCUGAUUCUUCUCACUCAUUUCUGCUUCCUCGAUCUUAUAUAACAAAUGAGUGAACACGUACAGCAGCGGAACUGGAGGCUUUGUGUUGUGUGCUAUUGGACGAUCCCACAUCACGGCGGGCAGAUCUUUGCAUCAUUUUUGUAAUAUUAUGCUAUAUAUAAUAAUGCACGGAUAUGUUCAAUCGAGCUCUGUGCGUGGUUCAUAUUUAAUUUUGUUGUAUAAUAUAGCUAACAGUUUCGUUGCUACGUGCGUACGUACAUAGAUCAUGACAAAAUUGGCCGAUCGGUCAGAUGCUAGUAGACGCAUCAUUUUUGCUGCUUCUUAUUUUUCUGGUCCCUCCCAGUUCAGCUUUGGACACACAAUCAAGAUGACAGGAGUGUAUAAUAGUUGCAGACUGCAAAAUCAAACAUAUCUGUGGUGACCAACCAAGCCAAGUGCCCAAAUCAAUUGUACUUGCACCAGUAAGGAAGCAAGCAAGCAAUUUGUUCUGCAACUAGUCCUCAGCUACGAGAUGUCAAAUGAGACAAAUGCUGAUCAAGGUGAGCUACUCGAUCUGAACUUGCUCACUUGUCACUACUGUGGUGCAGUAUGUAUAAUUGGACCUCCGGAUGUCGCCAUCAGAUAUGGAGAGAAGAAGAACAAAACGGAAAGACAGGCAGGCAUCUGGACGAAGCAGCACCACCCAUCCCAUGCAUCCUUUCUUCCUUUCUCGAUCGAAUCGAAUAAAGUUGUCGCUGCUUUUUCCCCACUUCGCUCCUCCAUGUCAAAGAAUUGGUCUGCAGUCAGCUGGGGAGAGUUUAAUUUAUACUAAUAACAAAGUGCAAGCAUUAGGUGAGCACUUUGUUGACACCGGUUCAUCAUCUACUGUGAACUAGCACUCAACGUCCCUUCUUACCGCCGUUGGAUUAAUUCAUUCCCACUGACUCAACUAAGGGCACUCAGAAUGUAUACUCUAUCAUAGAGUCUAAAGUUAGUUAUUACCUCGAACAAUGUGGACUUAGAGUCUAAAUAAGAUUUGAAGUCUUAUUUUUUCUACCUUUCCUUCAAUAAAUAUGGUGCCACAUCAGCAAAAUACUAUAAAAAUAUGUAAUUAAUUGUCUUGAACUCUGUGAUAGAGUCUUACAUUGUGAGUGCCCUAAUACCAAUGUUUCAUUACAUAUAUAUACAUAUUACUCCUAGUUGUUUCAUUACAUAUCCUAGUCAUCAGGUCGAUCGUGCAUUCACAUGGCUUCGACAAUCCUUGUUUUUUUUUUGUGAAAUUUAUAGUCAUUAUCAUUGAACUGAAAAUACAUGAAACUAGACAAGUAUGGUAACAUUAUUACCGCAGUGUGGAUUGAUGAGAGCAUUUGGUAUGUCUCAUCCACUAUACUGUUAUUUGGGCUUCCCUUGUUCCAGUUUCAAAAAAGAACAAUAUUCGCGCAAAAAGAAUAUAUGGGGACUUAAAAAAUUCACACUAUUCUAAUUCCCGGCCACUUGUUCUCACCUUUUCAUUCGCACUUUAUUAUUAGUUUGCGGGUCUGCUUCCAAUGUGUAAACAAUGAUUUAAGUCUUUGUAACUCGGGCCCACCAGAUGUAUGGCUAGCCGGUUAUUCGUAGUUUAUUUAUGGAUUUAUUAACAACGUGAUGGUGGCUAAAGAUCGAUGCGUAUGUGAUCUGGCUUGCUAGCUUGAUCAAUCAUUUCUUUAUUAUGAUUAUCCAGGAUUCUAAGUGCACCCGUGAUGAUUAAGGUAUAUGAUGAUCACUGCCACGCUUGCCUUGGGUUGGUGCUCCGUUCCUGUCGUCAUAGCAUACCUGCUGCUGAAUUCUUAGCAAACGGAGGGGAAAAAAAGAGGCUUCCCCGUUCCUUUUUUAGUUGCGUCCUAACACUAGCUAGCUGCUGGUCAAUUCCUAUCGUCAGAAAACAAACUCCGUUGCACGGCAGAGUUGUAGCAACUGCUAUACGUGCAUAAGAGAUAGGAGAUUGGCUGAUCGUUUGCACAAUUUUAACAAAAUAUCAUCACAAUCCUUUUUCUUCGCUUGCAGGAUAGUCAUCAGCGCGGUAACAGGACAGAACAAAUUAAAACAAGCAGGUGUGUACUCCCUCCGUACAUAUAAAGAAGUCAUUUUGGAAAAGAUUUAGAUUAAAUACUGGGAAUAUAAAUCAUGAAUAACUUUUAAGUUGUUUGAAAAUAUGAAAACCAUAUAAAUAGAUUUAUCUUGAAAAAUACUUUCAUAAAGUAUACAUAUACCAUAUUUUGAUAAAUAUUUUUAUAAAAAAUAAAGAAUCAAAGUUAAGCUUUGGAGAUUGUGUCGUUGUCCUAAACGACUUUCUUUAUGUGUAUGGAAGAAGUAUCUGUUUAGUUGUAUAUACCGUACUAUAUAUAUACUACUGCUUCAUAAUCUAACAUAAUAGAGUGGAGCUAGUAUAGUGCUAAGAAAUCUAGUACUAGCAGAAAACAUGGCAAAUAGCUAGGACCAUGUCUGUCGCCAUCUUGCUUAAAACUUGCAUGAAUACGCUAUCUAAGCACUAAUGGCUACUGGAUUGCAGGAGCUGAUUGAGGCACGCAGCGGCGGAAGACGGCACAAUCGAAAAAAAUACCGCACUAACAGUUCAGUAAUUCAGUGGAAAGGGUGGCCGCAGUUGACUGCCGCCCCCCAAACACUACUACACAAAAUAUUUUUACAGACGGUGCUAAAGGCAUCUUCACAGGCGGUCAAACCCACCGCCUGUACCAGGGGUCAGUAUAAAAUGGACCACAGUACAGGCGGGCCUAUGUCAGCCGCCUGUGAAAAUUAGGUUUUCACAGGCGGCGCACCUAGCCAGCCACCUGUGUAAAUGAAUUUUUACACAAGCGGCUGACAAUGUGAGCCGCCUGUAUAAAUGUAAUUUAUACAGACGGCUCACACUACACCGCCUGUGUAAAUAAUUUUUUAUAUAUAUUUCAAAUUUAAAUUUUUCCCACCAAACACAGUGCUAAACACCUUAUAUAUAUAUAUAUAUAUAUAUAUAUAUAUAUAUAUAUAUAUAUAUAUAUAUAUAUAUAUAUACACACAUCAUACAUACACCACAUAUAUAUAUUAUAGAAUUGUAAACAUGAAAUCAAACAUCAACCAUAAAAUUACAUAUAUAUACGUCAAUUAAUGCAUGUUAUCCGCACAACCAUACAGUGUUUACAUGUCAUUUCGCUUCAGAUUUAUACCUGCUAUGUCUGUCAGCACUCUAAAUUUAUCACUUGCUAAAUCGCCCUCAUGAUCAAAAUAUGCACCGUCACUUGGAAUUAUUUGUCUCAUUAUAAAACCACACAAGUCUGCUACUAUAUCUUCCAGCGUCUUUGGUGUAAAGGGCACGUCCUUUCCUUGCUUUUUUGGCUGGAAACAAAGUUUAAAAGCAUGAUUGACACAUGUUCAAUAUAUAAUUUUGCAACUUUAAUGAGAAAACUUCAUACAUAUAUAUUAUUUACCAUAUUUUUGUCCCUGACGUAACGUCCCCGCUACCUUAUAAACUCACAGACAUAGUACCCACAAUAGACCGAUCCAGGUGGUUGCUUGUGGCACUAUAUGAUGAGCAACGGAUUAUUCUAAAUUUGCCAUGCUUUAUGUAUUAUUUAUAUGAUGAAAUGUGUUUGGACAACUUACCGGAUAGUGGUGUUGUAUCAUCAAUGGCACCCUAGGAUCUGAGCGUGCGGCGUCGACUGGUCCGUUUUGUUUCUUAUAAAACCGCCAUGCCCUGUAGAUAUCGAAUAUAAAUCACUAAAGUUAUUUUGAAACUCCAAUUUAUAUAAGUACGCAUGUGGUUUCAUAUGUUGGCUCACCUUUCUAAUUGAACCAAGAAUGGUUGAUACUUCUGGGGAGGAACAUGUAAAGAAUCUAGGACAAGCACCUUCCCUUCGAAGGGACAAAUAUAAAAAACAAUCCAAUGGUCACUGCAUGAAUAAAUGAGUGAGCGACACAUGUAUAUUGUUUGCACGAUAAUUAUUUGAAGUACGUAUAUGAAGUUAAGCUUACCUAAAGUUGUAAGGUGCCAAUAUAAAAUCCCUAUACUUAUACCUCAGCAUUGAUCUACCAAGAUAGAGGGCAUAAUUAUCCUCGUAUUUUCUUUGCAACUCUUUUAUAGCUUCUUCAACUUCUUCUGGUGUUUUGUCCUUCUCUAUCUUUGCUCUAUCGUCCUUUGAUAGUACAAAUUUGUGCAUAUUUUCUUGUAACUUGAUAGGGCUCAGACAACCGACCAUCGAUCCGGUAGAUAAUAAUGACCUCUGCUCGUGAUCUUGCAAACUACAGACAACAUCUACAUAUUAGAGUUUCACACUACAUAUUAAUAAUAAUUGUGUGUGCAUGAGUGAUACUUACAGACACCAGAUUGUUAUGAGUUGGACGUCAAGCCGCCUAUAGUUCAAUAACAAGUGCAUGUCCUCAAAGGUAACAAAUACCUUGCUCUUUUCGUUACCAGUAGCAAACACGUCUGCUGGUAUAUCAACUCUGGUUGCAUGGAGGCCAGCAUGCACUGCUCAUGUACCAGUCAUGAAAUAUUUUUAUCGGCCAUUGAAUCUUAUCAAGCAUCGUCCAUUGGAGCAUAGGCCUUCCGGGCACAUAGUCAUUGGGGACAUUGACAUAAUCAUCAAUCGUUGGCUUUCUGAUAUCCGUUAGGGUCAAUGGUUGACUUGAUAGCUGUUUGACAUGUACAUCGCCACUUGGGGCUUCCUUUGAUGGGGGCAUGGCUUCUAUUGACUGGGCGGUGGCUUCCUUUUUCUGUGACGGUUCGAGCUCAAUAAGCCGUGCUGUCCGCUGCUUUCCAAGUCCUUUAAGAAAGAGAGUUGUGUCUCCUGCUUUCCCCUUUUUUGGCUCAAAGGGAGAAAUCAAUUUUGGAAUUGGAAAUUUCUUCACCUACUUAGACGCCGGUGCUGCUGGGGGAGUUUGGUCAUCUUCCUUCUGCUUUGGAGGUGGUGGGGGAGUUUGCUCAUCCUCCUUCUCCUUUGGAGGUGGUGGGGGAGUUUGCUUAUUCUCCUUGGAUGGCGGAGUCUGCUGCUCAGGCAUGUUCUCCCUGGCUGGCACCUCGGGCUCAUUCUGCAAGAAUGCCAUCUCAUGUAUUGGAGAGGAUGGUGGUGGCUCAUAAAUGUACGGGGAUGCUGGAGCAUGCAUUGGUGAUGGUGGUUGUUGAUAUGUUUCGGCCUCUUGGGAUGGUUGAGGCACUAUGCUUGGAGAGGGUGGCGCUGGUGGAUCAAUCAACCUUAUGUACCGUCUCGGCCAUUGUAUGAAGUUAUUGAUUGCUUGUCCAAGCUUCUCUAUACCAUCAGACGUCGGGAUGUCUAUGAAGUCGUCUUCAUAUCCGGCCUCGACCGUCAACACUUCCACCCUACAGUAUGCAUCUUGCAUGUCAACAGUAUGGAAUGUACGUCCUGGGAUAGCAUUACCGGUGGCCACUUGCUUAGUAUGUUGAUUCUUAAGGCCAUAGGAUAUGACCAAGGAGCAAGGCCAAGGUCUAUCAAUAUCAUCAACUGGAUAAUGGUCCUUAUUUGUUGUUGACGCUAUACUGCUUGGAAAGGGCUUAGAUUGUGAGGCCAUCUCCUGACGCUCCAAGGGUUGAGCUGGUACAAGCUGCAUAUGCGAAGGAGCUUGUGAGGACAUUUGUUGAGCAGACACUCCUCCUGCCAACCGCUUCAUCACUUCAGGAUCAGGAUUUGUAAAGAAGUCUUCCAUCAUAUCCCUAAACUUUUUUGCAGCCUGCUGCUCAAAAAAAUCUUUCAUUUCCUCCUUAUGUCGGUCUCUUUUCUUAUACAUGCCUUUCCACUCAUCACCGAAUCCUUCUUUCCAACUAAUUCCGGAGGAGAAUCCCCGUACACGUCCUGGAUGCUCGGGGUUACCUAGAGCAUGGGUAAGGAUGUCCCUCUCCCUCUGUGACUUGAAGGCACCUUUCUUUUCUAGGUUUGAUGCUUCCAAAACCUUGUCGGCAACUUCUCUAAUCUCAUCGGGACAUGACAUCUCAUCGCUCUCAGUGUUUGCCUUCCGAGCACGAAGCCAAUUCGCACUCCUUUCAGGCACUAUAUCGGUCAAUGCCAAAUGGCCCUCUAUCCUCUUUGCAUCGUCUUCUGCCCUCCAAUUAGGAAUCUUGGUCUUAUAACCACCAGUGCCAAGGUGGUGGUGAUACUUGUUCCUCUUCGCGAGUCCAGAGGCGGCUUUGCUCUUAGCCUUCGCAUCGUCUGAUUCUCUCAUCAAACGAAAACGUGCCCACUGAGCCUCUGUGAUAGGGUACCGCUUCGUCGGGUCCCGUCCCUUCUGCAACCACUUUUUGUUCAUAUCGUGCCUAUAGCCCCGGAAUGAUAUUGCCAACUGCUUCAUGACAUAACCCUUGGCCAAUUCAUCUGUACCAUCGGGAAAAAUAAAUUGAGUGCACAAGCGAUUCUAGCAAGUGGUCCUUUUCUCUUGUGGCACCAUACUCCAAUCACUCCAACUGAUAUCAAAUUCCUCUUUUACUAAAUAUCCAAUUGCGGCCCUAAAUUUGGGUAGCGCCUCUAGAGGUGCUAAGGGCUCUCCGCUCAGACUUAACACUAUAAUCUGGUAAACUUCUUCUGGAAAUCUAUUCCUUCCUCUGUCUCCUCGUGCCCGAUCACUCUUUUUUGUUUUACUUCUUGGCUCAGAGGAUGUUCCAGUCGUUUGAGGCGCCAUGUCCUUCUGAACAUCUUGUUCUUCUGCCUCCAUUUCGGCAACAACUUGAGAUAACACCUCCUGUCCAUUCAAUUAUUAGGUAUAUACAUAUAUACACAUGUAUUCUAUUGUAUAGAUACUACUACAAUAUAUACCUCAUCAUCAUCCGGAUCAGCUUGAGGCUCGUAUGUCGGGUCAUGUUCCAACUCUAGACGAGCCUUCUUAGCUCUGGGGGAUUCACGUGGUGAUACGCUCGGGCUUAUAUAAGUGUCGGAUCCAGAGGUGUCGGAUCCCGGUAUUUCUAUCUGGGCUUCAGCAUUCGAUGGAGUACUCAUCUAAUUAAACAAAUAAUUUAUAAACAAUUAACUUACAAACUCUAAUUAACAAACCCUACUUAACAAAUUAAUUAAUUCAUCAAUAAUUAACAAUUAAUUAACUAGCUAACCCUAAUUUAAUAAUCAAUAAUUAGUAACAAAUAAAUAACCCUAAUUAAUUAACUAACAAACCCUAAUAAUUAAUUAACAAUCAAUAAUUAACAAAUAAAUAAUUUACAAAACAAACCCUAAUAAUUAAUUAACAACCAAUAAUUAACAAAUAAAUAAUUAACUAACAAACCCUAAUAAUUAAUUAACAAUCAAUAAUUAACAAAUAAAUAAUUUAUAAAACAAACCCUAAUAAUUAAUUAAUUAACAAUCAAUAAUUAACAAAUAAAUAAUUUACAAAACAAACCCUAAUAAUUAAUUAACAACCAAUAAUUAACAAAUAAAUAAUUAACUAACAAAACCUAAUAAUUAAUUAACGAUCAAUAAUUAACAAAUAAAUAAUUUACAAAAACUAAAAAAAAGGCAGCAAGGGCGGCCUGUCAGGCCCAACAGGGCCCCACAAGCUGCCUGGUUGCCGCCGGCGUUGGGAGGGGCGGCGGCGCGCACGGCUGCCGCCGCCACACCUCGGCUUACCUCAACGGCGGCGCGGAGGUCGUCGAUGGCGGCGCGGAGGUCCUCGGUGGCGGCGCGGACGUCCUCGAUGGCGACGCGGAGCUCCUCGGUGGCGGCGGCGGCAGUGGCGUCGGCGGCGCACGGCUCUCCUCGGUGGCGGCGGCGCACGGGCUCUCCUCGGCGGCGUAGUGGCUCGCGGCGGGGGCGCGGAGGCAGGGCAGGAGCUUGGACGGUCGCGGCGCGGGCUCCGGCGAGAGAUGGGUAGCGCGGCGGUGGAUUUCGGCAGCCUAACGGCGUCGGUUUCGUCAACCUCGCGCCACCGGGACUUGAAAAAUUUAGCGACCCGCGCUCAGGGUAUAUAUAGGUUUGGAUUAGUACAGGCAGACAUCAUCGACGUCCGCCUGUACUAAUCAUUUCUACAUGCGAACGUCAAGAAGAUCCGCCUAUACUAAUAUAUUAGUACAGGCGGCUGCUUUGAGGGCCGCCUGUACAGGCGGCUGACUUUGAGGGCCGCCUAUACUAAAAAUUAAAUAAACUAUAAUAAAUUGUGCAAAUAUUAUAAAAUACAAAAGGAGUACUUUGUUAAUUAAUUUAUUUAGUGAUUAAUGGUUUGUUAAUUAUGUUGUUUCAAAAAUUAAAUAAACUGUAAUAAAUUGUGCAAAUAUUAUAAAAUAGAAAAGGAGUGCUUUGUUAAUUAAUUUACUUAGUAAUUAAUGGUUUGUUAAUUAUGUUGUUUCAAAAAUUAAAUAAACUGUAAUAAAUUGUACAAAUAUUAUAAAAUACAAAAGGAGUGCUUUGUUAAUUAAUUUACUUAGUGAUUAAUGGUUUGUUAAUUAUGUUGUUUCAAAAAAUAAAUAAACUGUAAUAAAUUGUACAAAUAUUAUAAAAUACAAAAGGAGUGCUUUGUUAAUUAAUUUACUUAGUGAUUAAUGGUUUGUUAAUUAUGUUGUUUCAAAAAUUAAAUAAACCGUAAUAAAUUGUGCAAAUAUUAUAAAAUAGCAUAAGGUAUAAAACAAAUGGAAAAUGUAAACAUGUUGCUUAAUAAGAAAUAGUAGCAUAAGGUACAAAUAAUAAGUGAUACAUGAGUUACAUGAGUAAUGAUAACUUAUAGAAUCUAGCGUGCUACAGUCCUUCCUUGUCCAUCGUGGCGCACCCAUGGCAAUGAGGAUUGUGGGAUACUUUUCUCAACAUUUUUUAUGUUUUCUUGAAAGUUUGUAAAAAGAGACAUCUCGCUGAAUUGGUUAACAUCCUCCAAAUCCAUUACACCAUCAACUCCUAUAAUUUGUUGCUUUCCUAGAAUAACUAUAUGCUUUGGCUUGUGGCUAUUUUUCUUUUCAUCCUUAGAAAAGAUUUAUUCCACAUAGAAGACUUGUGCGGCACGGUUAGCAAGGAUCCACGGAUCAUCUUUAUAACCUACUUUACUUAGGUCAAGAACUCUCUGGCCAUAGUUAUCCAUAGUGACAUGUUUAUCUUGAACCCAUCGACAUCGGAACACUGGAAUCUGCAGGAGUGGACCAUAUUCUACCUCCCAUAUGUCAUCAAUGAACCCAAAGUAUGUAGUUGUUUCACCAGUUGCAUCAUUUAUAGCCUCGCAUCGAACGCCACUAUUCUGUCCCAUGCUCUUGGUGUCCCUAUAGCUGGUGGAAUAUGAAAAGCCACUAAUGUCAUAGCUCUGCCAUGAUGUGACCUUGCUUGAUGGUCCAGAUGCUAACAUCUUAAUGGUUUCUGAUUCCUCUGUCACGUCCAAAUCCUUUAACCAUGUGGUGAGCUGACGCUUGUGUUCCUUGUGUACCCAAUCAUUUGUGCAUCCUGGAUUCUUCUCACGAAGCUCUUUCAUGUGCUGCUCAAUGAAUGGGUCCAUUAUUAUGAGUUGUUGUAGUAUGAUAUAAUGUGCCUCUAGGACUAUGUUGUAAUUGUAACAUCCCUGAUGUUACGGUGACUAAAACUGGAUCAUGUCAUCAUGAGCAUUGCAUUGCAUAUUUGUUAAGCACAUUAUUAUGCAUCAAAUUAAAACAAGUUUAUUUUGAAUGCUUGUGCUUAGGAAAGUAAAGAGUGCUUAUGUUGUGAAGUGAUGCUUGUGUUGGUUGUUUAAUCCCUAGGGUGGUAGAUUUUCGAGAAAAUGGGAGGAAAACCCUGAUUUUAAAACCCUAGAUUUGCCCCCUUUUGUGUAAUUUAAAAACUAAGCAAAAUUUGAAGUUGAGUUCAAAAGCAAAAUUGUAGAUUUUGUCAAGAUGUACAACUUUGGUGUUUUGAGUUUUUGAAGUUUCAAUACAAAAUUCAAAGUAAUUUUGAAAAUACAGAUUUCGAGAAAGUGUCCCCUUUUCCAAUUUGAAUCUCCAAUUCAAAAUCCAUUUGGAAUUUUGAAAAGUGACCAACAUGAAAGUUGUAGAGCUCAAAACGUUGAACAACUUUCAUGUUGGGUGUUUUUCAAGUUGCUAUGGAAAAUCAAAAGUAAUUUUGGAAAUUCUGAUCUGCCCCAAUUCAAAAAUUCGAAUUUCCAUGAAUUGAGUUUUGAAUUUCAAAAAUUCGAAUUUCCAUGAAUUGAGUUUUGAAUCACCAAUUUCCACUCAGAUUUAGCUUUGGUCACCAAAAGGAGUUUUGUAGCUUGUAAAGUUCUGCACAACUUUCAUUUUGGUGGAAUUUUGUCUUCAGUUCAAAAUUUGGGCGAAUUUUGCAAAACCACAAAACUGGUUGGAUAGAGCUCGCUACAGUGCUCGAUCAGGGGGAUGCUCUGCCGCCGGGGCAGAGCCGCUGCGUCCAGCGCCGCCACGCGCCUGGCCACGCAGCUGCUUGUUGGGUGGGCCUCGCUCGGACGUCCUCCUCUGCAUCACGCACUCCGUCGCGUGGAUAAAGCCCCGGGUGGCCGUGGUAUUUCCUUUCUUCUCUUUGAACCUCACCGUCGACAGCCACCAAUCGACGCCGAAAUUCACCGUCGCCUUAGCUCCUCCAUCCCCGAGCUCUUGCUCUCAACUCCGCCAAGAACCCAGCAAUCGAUUGCGCCCCUGAGCGCAAGCGCUAACCCCUCCUCGCCCGCAACCGAGCUGUUUCCCUUCGAUUCCGGCCGAAGUCGCCGCCGUGGGUGCCUCACCGCGGCCAGCUCUUCUCCAAGCUUCUCCACUGCCACUCUGUGUUUCGUUGAAGUCGCGGUGAGCCCCUGAAGCUUAUGCGCUGGUUGGUUCGCGUUCUACCCGCUUGUAGUGGCCGGUGCUCGCGCCGUUAGUCUCACCGUCCGCCAUGGAUGCGGGCAGGAGAGUAGGAGGGAGUAGCACGUGCUUUGAACGCCUUGGUGGGUGCGCAUGGAGUUGGGGAAGCUAGCCCACCCUACCGCGGAGGCCGAGGGCUCACCGGCGCUGAGCCUGAGCUCACCGGAGUGGUGGCGGGAGGAAGAAGAAACUUCUAACGGGCGGGACCCGCCCGUCAGUGGCCGCGUGAGGAGGGCAGCGCCCGCACGCGACGCGGGAAGCUCUCGGGCCGACUUGGGCCAUGACCAAGUGGGCCGGCCGCGUAGCACAGUGCGCUUUUUUCCUUUUCCUUUUUGUUUAAAAAUGCUUGAUUUGUAGAAUUGUGUAGAAAAUUGUAUACUAAUUCAAAAAUCAUGGAAAUUUUUGUAUAGAUUCCAUAAAAUGGAUAGAACAUAGGAAAAAUGUUAGGUGCUAUUUUCUAGUAGUUUGCAUGUGUAUAAAAAUUGCCUCUUUUAAUUAGUAAAUAAAACUUCUAUGAAUUUUAAUAAUUUAUUGAUAUGUCCAAAAAUCACCAAAAUUUGUGGGAUGCCUUUGAAUAUUAUUCCCUGGCUUCACCCAAAAUUUGGUGGCAUUUGGAUAAAGUUUUAAUAAAAUAUUUUUAAACCCUUAAUUAGUAAUUAAUUAAUAAUUCUAGAAUAAUUAGAUAAUAAUUAGUUAAAUUCUCAAAAUUAGGGUUUGAGUGAUUUUGGGAUUGUGUGAUGACCUGAGGUCAUUAACCAUAAUGACCUUUGGCAUUUAAUUAUUGUUUGGCAUUAAUACUUAAUUACUGUCAUUAAUACUUAAUUAAGAAUUUAUUAAUAAUUAGUUAAUUUAGGCUAAUUAUGAAUUAAGAGGAAUCUUAGUUUACAAAUGCAACCUCUUGGGUAAAGACACUAAGAUGAUAAACAACUUUAAUUAUUGAUUAGUCUGUGUUGCACCGAGAAGGCCCGUUGUACUUAACUCGGUCCUUCUCAAAUAUUUGUCAUAUGCAUAUCAUAAGCAUUCAUCAUUUUGCGUAUAGUGCACGUGACCGAAGGAGCGACCGUUGAACCGAACCCCGAGGUCGGUGCUCCGUUUGAAGAAGUAGGAUCCGAGACUUGGGAAGUCUCCGAGGAACCCUCUCAGCUCUGCAACCAAGGCAAGCCCCGGGUGCAUUAACCCCUCCUUGAAUGUUUUAAAUCUUUUAUCACUUAUGAAUUGAAAAUGCUGCAUUAGGUAGUUGAGAAUUGGGUUAACCUACUUGCUGCAUUUACUACCUUAAUAUUUGUUAUCUUGUCCUUGGCAUCUGUUUUAUUUUAAAAUCGCGUAGUGAUGCUUAGCCCUGCUACUAGAUAGGUUUUCAAACAACAAAGUUUGAAGGGUUGUUGUGGAAUACACUUAUGAUCAAUGAUGUUUCAAUUUGAGACCGGUCGGUGGACUUGCUUUAAGAAUGGAGUCUUAAAGUAGUGUCUCCAACUAUGUCGGUUAAGGACCGGUCCGUUGGUGGCCUGAUGGGUUGAGAACUUAUAGUACUAGCCACUUGCCCUCGGUAAGCCUGGUCUUGUGAUCCCUCAACGCGAACAGCUACUCUCGCACUGGGUGUGGAGCGAUGGCGAGAGUAGUGUGUACCCACCUUACAGAUCUGAGAUGACCGGAAAACAUCUAGAUCGACUGUAGGAUGGUGGAGUACUGUGCUCUCGGGUGUCGCGAACCUAGUAAAAUUUGGGGAGAGCUUGAUUUGGGUUGACAUAUGCAAGAUUUGGUUCUACAUAUGUCGGGUGGUUAGGAACUCCAGUUGGAUUGCUAAGCGGUUCGAAUCGUCGUUGCUCCCCGAUUGGGAGACUCAAUCCACUGACCCUCAUCGUAGUUAAAUAUGCAACUAAGUGAUAAAAAGAAAAAGGGGGAAAUGUCUCAUGAGGUUCAGAUCCCAAUUCCCGAACUCAGAGUGACAUGAAGCUAUGGCCGUUGGAUAGAUAAUACUUUGAUUAAGGACUAGGAACUCACAGACUUGUCUGUGAGAGGCAACUAGAUAGACUGUCCUCGAACUCCUCGACCUCUUAAGGAGAGGAAUUCACGGGUAAAACUUGAAAGUAAGGAUGCACUAUUAGUAAGCUUUUUAGCAAAACACUUUGGCUCCUUGCUCAGCCACUCCUUGUCUACCCUAAGCCUGCAUUCCUACUUUCUCCUCUUUUUCCGCCGGGUAAGUCUUGUUGAGUACUCCCAUACUCAGGGUUUUAUAACCCCUGUUGCAGGUAAAGCUCAGGAGCCGACAUGUUUCGGACCCUGUUGUGUGUCCAUCUUUGAGGUUGACGACGAGGAAGAGUGAGUGUGACCCAUGGGCAGGGUCUGUAAAUUUGUAAUUUGUGUACUAAAGUUUAAGUUGGUCCACUAGACCUGGCUUGUAAUAACACUCUACUAUUUGGAAGAACUACUUUUGUAAAUUAAGUUAUGUAAUACUUCCGCUGUUUUACUCUGAAAUAUUAUUUUGGUCUUGUGUCGUUUGUGAUACUGCAAUGUCUUCGCAACGAGUGAUCCUGGUGUUAAGGUGGCCACUUGCUAUCCUGUAAGGGAGAGAAGAAGAAGUUCUCGUUAAUUGACCAUCGCUAGUGGUCAGGACGAGUUCGCUUGAUACUCCACAAGUAGCGGUGGAAUGAGCGUCAUGAGAUGCUCAUCGGACUUCUAGAGUGGGAGGAUCCUCGGCAUCACCGUCAGAGGUCCUUUGGACAAUGACAGGUGUCGGUGGGCCCAAACACUUAAGAGGUUCUGCCACAGCUCGUAUCAGAGCAUUCGUUGCUAAGAUGACUGCUGUAUCCUUUGAAAAACUUCAAAACCAUUUGGAUCUAAUACUAUAAACAUGCCUAUUUUGAGUCUAAGUGCUUUAGUCCUAUCUUACCCCUGUCUGUAGGCUUUGUUAGAACUUUUGAAAUGGUGUGGAGGAGCAACAUAAAGUAUUGCCCUUUGUUGUAAAGUUUUUAAGUAAUAUUGUUACGAAUUUCUAGUACGAAUCGUAAGUCCAUGCAUUCAUCAUGCUAUGUCACUUGGUUAAGUUCCUUCCUCCUUGUUUGGGUUGGGUGUAUAGAAUCAAUCCCAUUCUUGCUAACCUUUAAGGUCUCCCUUACUAAUCCAAACUUACCCUCUACAGGAUGGCUCGUUGGAAGCAGACCCCGCGUAAGAGGACUGGUCCUAAAGGGGUCCAUAGACACCAGUUGGCCCCGCAAAGCGAUCAAGCAAGCAGUAGCCGUUCACCCUCGCAACAAGAGGUGGAAAGGUUGUCCGCCGAGCUAACCGAAGUGACGAGAGAAAGGAUGUACAAUGUCAUGGAGAUCGGUGAACAUAAAGCUCAACUAACAAAACAAAAACAAACCACCGAGAACUGCGAGGCCAUGCUGUCCCGUAUGGUGGAAGAGAGGAACGUCGCUAUUGCCCGAGAAGAGGAGGCCAGGAGCGCACACAGGCACGAGCUGACCAGGAUGAAGGCGAAGCUGGACAAAACCAAGUACCUUAAAGAUCUAUACGUGAAGAUGGUGGCCACUGUCACCGCGCAGAGGUAUGUCGCGUGGCAGCGGGAGGACCAGCUAUAGCUAGAGAAGCUUGAGCUGGCACAUCAUUUAGACACCGUCAACAACUUGGCAAUGCAAUACCGUGAUAUUGCAUUCGACCUAUAUCAUCAGCUCCAUCCACCUCCAGGUGAAGGGGAGAUGGAUACGGACGGAGAGUUGGCGGAUGCUAGGGAACCCGACCAAGACCUCAGUGACGAGGAGGAAUCUGACUCCGGUGAUGAUAACCCGGGGGGUAAUCAGGACGAUGGCAAUGAUGACCCGGGCUACAGCUCUGGCCACACCGACUAGUUCGGUGAAGUCGCGGGCAACGUCGUUGUAGGAUUCCUAGUCUACCGUAGUGGGGUCGGGUCUAUAGUAUAGAGUUUUCUUUCAGUUUAAGAAGUGUACUCGUUUGUUUCCAGUGUGUUGAACUAAUGUUUAAUAAAUAAAUGGAAGUAUGUAAGAUAUGUUCAAAGUUAUGAAUUUCAUGUGGUAACAAGUACAUAUGAUUCUUGUAGCAGAUGCCGAUGCGUACUCGUGGAUCUGAUGGAGCCGGUUCCUCUUAGGGAGGGGAUGACAUCCCCAACCCUCCACCUGCUCCACCUUCCCUGGCUGAUGCCAUUGCUGUUCUUUUGAGUGCCACCACCGACAACGCACGCUUGUUGCGCGAGUUACCACAACGCCAACCACACCCCGCCCCAAACUUCAGAGCACAGCACAAUGGGGAGGGAGAAACUCGGUACGUGGACUUUACCAAGACAAGGCCCCCGGUAUUCACCAAGGCUGAUGAGCUGUUAGAGGCUGAUGACUGGCUCCAAACAAUGGAGCACAAGUUCAGUCUGAUCCGAUGUUCGGAAACUCAGAAGCCCCUGUUCGCAGCUCAACAGCUUCGGGGAGCUGCGGGUGCCUGGUGGGAGAACUUCCUAGCUAUCAAGGGUCCAGGACACCAGGUCACCUAGACAGAAUUUAAGGACGCGUUCCGCGCCCACUAUAUCCCCGAAGGGCUUAUGGCCAUGAAGGCCGAAGAAUUUCUCGCCUUGCAGCAAGGCGAUAAGAGUGUCAUGGAAUACGUGGCAAAAUUUAAUCAUCUUUCUCAAUAUGACACAGACCAUGUGAACACGGACAGAAAGAAGAAAGCAUGAUUCAUGCGUGGUCUCAAUACCAAACUUCAGACCAUGAUGACCACCUGUCAAAAUGCUACGUUCUACAAGGCGGUAAACAUUGCCAUCGCCUCAGAAGAAAAGAAUAGAAAGCACAAAGAAGCCAAGAAGAAGGCUGCUUCUUCCUCCUUCUCUGGUCGCGGUCAAAAGCGCCAGAGAAUCAUUUAUCAUCCACAGGGCCACGGACGCUUUCAAGCGCCGUCACCUUUUCGUGGUCCCUUUUCUCCUCCACAAUAUAGACCAGGUCAGCAGGUAUAUCCUCGACCUACUGCCAUCGCCACUGCACCACGCCAGCCGAAUGCCCCAGGUGUUCGUCCCACUGCUCUGCCCAACCACAAUUAUCCUUGUUUCAAUUGUGGUAAGCCUGGGCAUUUUUCUAAAGAAUGCCCCUACCCCCGCCAAAUUAACCCCACUUUCCAAAGGCCACCCAUUGGCCAACCCCAGCCGAGCCAAUUCAGGACUGGGGCUCAGAAAGGACAAAAUGUGCAAAGGGGUAAACUCGUAAAGAACGUGGGACAAGUUUUCCAUAUAGAGGUGGAGACGAUACCGGAAGGAGAACCGGUAAUGAUGGGUACGUUUCCUGUUGCGAACCAUCCUGCCUUAAUGCUUUUUGAUUCUGGUGCAUCUCAUACAUUUAUCAACCGCACCUUUGUGAUAAAGCAUGGCAUACCCGUUGGGGAAACAAAAGAUCAUUUUUAUAUAUAGUCGCCUGGAGGACGGCUGAGUUCUAAAGAAAUGGUUCACCAGAUACCCAUCGAACUUGGUGGGCAUAGCUUUCCCACUAGCAUGAUUGUUCUUAAAGACCAGGAGAUUGAUGUCAUACUAGGCAUGAACUGGAUGGCACAACGAGGGGUUGUGCUAGAUACCAUGCAUCGAACCAUUAAAAUCCCAUUGCCCAAUGAGAAUUCUUACCUUCUAAUCCAGUUAGCUACUCCCAAAUGGGCAAUUGGGUAGGUUCAUGCCACUAAUGUGGCUGCAGUCAAAAAUAUCCCAGUGGUUCGGGAUUUUCCGGACGUAUUUCCUGAAGACCUACCAGGUCUGCCACCGGACCGAGAUGUCCAGUUCAGCAUAGAAUUGAAACCAGGGACGGCCCCAAUAUCUCGAAGGGCCUACUGAAUGGCACCGAAAGAAAUGGCCGAAUUAAAAACCCAACUACAAGAGUUGUUGCAAAAAGGUUUUAUUCAGCCCAGUUCCUCUCCAUGGGGUUGCCCAGCCUUAUUUGUGAAAAAGAAAGAUCAAACAUUAAGGCUGUGUGUCGAUUAUCGUCCCCUGAAUGAGGUGACGAUUAAGAACAAGUACCCAUUGCCCCGUAUUGACUUGCUAUUUGACCAGUUGGCCGGGGCUAAAGUAUUCUCAAAGAUUGAUUUGAGAUCAGGGUACCAUCAAAUCAAAAUCAGGCCGGAGGAUGUACGCAAAACGGCUUUUACAACCCGUUAUGGGCUGUAUGAAUACUUGGUGAUGUCUUUUGGGUUGACCAAUGCACCGGCCCAUUUCAUGUACUUGAUGAACUCUGUCUUCAUGCCAGAGCUGGACAAAUUUGUGGUCGUCUUCAUUGAUGACAUUUUGAUCUAUUCCAAAACUAAGAAAGAACAUGCUGAAUAUCUGAGAAUUGUGCUGACCCGUCUCAGGGAGCAUCAACUAUAUGCCAAGUUCAGCAAAUGUGAGUUCUGGCUAGACAAAGUCCAUUUCCUGGGUCAUGUAUUAUCAGCGGAGGGAGUCGCUGUAGACCCAGGUAAAGUAGAAGAUGUGUUGAAUUGGAAGCCCCCGACUACGGUACAUGAGGUCCGUAGUUUUCUGGGUAUGGCGGGAUAUUACCGUCGCUUUAUCCCGGACUUUUCAAGAGUCGCCAAACCAAUCACGACCUUGCUCAAGAAUCAAACAAAAUUUGUUUGGUCACCUCAAUGUGAGCAAGGCUUUCAGACUCUGAAAUGGUUAUUGACAACUGCACCUGUCUUAGCCCAGCCAGAUAUUGAAAAACCCUUUGAUGUGUAUUGUGACGCAUCAGGAAUAGGGAUAGGCUGUGUGCUAAUGCAGGAGGGUCGCGUAAUUGCAUAUGCUUCCAGGCAGCUUAAACCACAUGGAGAGAAUUACCCGACCCAUGAUCUUGAACUAGCCGCUGUAGUACAUGCAUUAAAGAUCUGGCGCCAUUAUCUGUUGGGGAAUACUUGUCACUUAUACACAGAUCACAAUAGCUUGAAGUACAUCUUCACUCAAGCUGAACUUAAUAUGCGCCAGCGAAGGUGGCUAGAAUGGAUCAAAGAUUACGACCUUGAGGUGCAUUAUCACCCUGGCAAAGCGAAUGUAGUAGCUGAUGCCCUCAGUCGUAAGGCUCACUGUAAUUGUUUAACAGUGACGCCUAAAGAUAUAACUUUGUGCCAAGAGCUAGAGAACUUGGAGAUAGAAAUGAUUUCCCAAGGAAGCCUUGCCAAUCUAAAGAUUGAUUUCAAUCUCGAAGCUCAAAUCAUAGAGGUACAAAAGGAAGACAAAGGUCUGAAAUACCUUAAAGAGAAAAUUUCUAAUAGAGCACCCAUAGACUUUAAGGUGGAUAAUGCAGGAGUAAUCUGGUUCAAAAACCGGUUAGUGGUUCCAAAGGUACCUGAGCUACGUCAGCAAAUCCUGGAUGAAGCUCAUACUACAAGAUAUUCUAUUCAUCCGGGGAGCAAUAAAAUGUAUCAGGACCUGAAGCAAAGGUUUUGGUGGACGAAAAUGAAAAUAGAAAUAGCUCGCUAUGUGGCCGAAUGCGAUACCUGCCGAAAAGUCAAAGCUAUUCAUCUCAAAUCUGCUGGAGAGUUGCAACCCUUGCCUAUUCCAGCAUGGAAAUGGGAUGAUAUUAGUAUGGAUUUCAUGGUAGGAUUGCCCAAGACGGCCAAAGGCUUUGAUUCUAUUUGGGUCAUUGUGGAUCGUCUCACCAAAACAGCACACUUCUUACCUGUAAAGAAAUCGUAUUAUACCUCCACCUAUGCUAAGAUUUAUUUUGAUCGUAUACUAAGUCUGCAUGGGGUGCCAAAGACAAUAGUGUCAGAUAGAGGCACACAAUUUGUCUCCCAGUUCUGGAAAUGCUUACAUGAAUCUUUGGGCACCAAGCUUUUAUACAGUACAGCCUACCACCCUCAAACAGGUGGGCAAACAGAGAGGGUAAAUCAGACCCUAGAAGAUCUAUUAAGAUCUUGUGCCCUGAAUUUUCCAGAUAAGUGGGAUGACUGCUUGCCUCUAGCAGAGUUUUCCUACAACAAUAGCUACCAAGAAAGUAUUAAGAUGGCUCCCUUUGGGGCACUAUAUGGCCGACGAUGUCGAAGUCCACUACAUUGGUCGGAACCUGGAGAAAGGUGGUUCUUUGGGGUUGACUUAGUAAAAGAGACUGAGAACAAAGUUAGACAAAUCCAAAAUAACUUGAAAGUUGCUCAGUCCCGACAGAAAAGCUAUGCCGAUAAAAGACGUCGACCCUUAAGAUUCGCCAAAGGUGACCAUGUGUAUUUAAAGGUAUCCCCAAUGAAAUGAGUAAAUCGUUUUGGCGUUAAAUGCAAAUUAGCACCUCAUUACAUUGGUCCAUUUCCAAUUCUUGACCGAUGUGGACAGGUAGCUUACCGCAUUAAACUGCCCGAACGAUUAUCCGGGAUACACAAUGUAUUCCAUGUAUCUCAACUGAAAAAGUGUCUUCGGGUACCAAACCAGGUUCAAGAUAUUGAAGAUGUGGAACUUGAACCAGAUCUGACUUAUGCUGAAUAUCCUAUCCGAGUAUUGGACCAAAGAGAUAGAGUUACUCGAAGAACAACUACCAAGUGGUACAAGGUGCAAUGGAGCCAGCACUCUGAAGAGGAAGCCACAUGGGAAUCUGAAGAUUAUAUAAUGGAGAAUUUUCCUGAGUUCCCCGCUUCUCUUCGAGACAACAUCUGAUAAAUAGGAAGUGUACUCUAGUGAAGGAAAAGAGUAGCCAAAGCCAUGUACUUAGUGUACAUAUUUGUUUAUAUUUGAGUAGCCUUCCCCAGCUUCUUGUCUUAUGAAAAGGUUGAAGAUGAAAUAGUUGACAAAUUUCCUUUUCCAUUACAUACCCUAAGGCUUUAAAUCUCGGGGACGAGAUUUCUUUAAGGGGGAAGGGCUGUAACAUCCCUGAUGUUACGGUUAUUCAAACUGGAUCAUGUCAUCAUGAGCAUUGCAUUGCAUAUUUGUUAAGCACAUUAUUAUGCAUCAAAUUAAAACAAGUUAAUUUUGAAUGCUUGUGCUUAGGAAAGUAAAGAGUGCUUAUGUUGUGAAGUGAUGCUUGUGUUGGUUGUUUAAUCCCUAGGGUGGUAGAUUUCCGAGAAAAAUGGGAGGAAAACCCUGAUUUUAAAACCCUUGAUUUGCCCCCUUUUGUGUAAUUUAAAAACUAGGCAAAAUUUGAAGUUGAGUUCAAAAGCAAAGUUGUAGAUUUUGUCAAGAUGUACAACUUUGGUGUUUUGAGUUUUUGAAGUUUCAAUACAAAAUUCAAAGUAAUUUUGAAAAUACAGAUUUCCAGAAAGUGUCCCCUUUUCCAAUUUGAAUCUCCAAUUCAAAAUCUAUUUGGAAUUUUGAAAAGUGACCAACAUGAAAGUUGUAGAGCUCAAAAUGUUGAACAACUUUCAUGUUAGGAGUUUUUCAAGUUGUUAUGGAAAAUCAAAAGUAAUUUUGGAAAUUCUGAUCUGCCCCAAUUCAAAAAUUUGAAUUUCCUUGAAUUGAGUUUUGAAUUUCAAACUGUUUUGUUAAAAUCACCAAUUUCCACUCAGAUUUAGCUUUGGUCACCAAAAGGAGUUUUGUAGCUUGUAAAGUUCUGCACAACUUUCAUUUUGGUGGAAUUUUGUCUUCAGUUCAAAAUUUGGGCGAAUUUUGCAAAACCACAAAACUGGUUGGAUAGAGCUUGCUACAGUGCUUGAGCAGGGGGGGAUGCUCUGCCGCCGGGGCAGAGCCGCUGCGUCCAGCGCCGCCACGCGCCUGGCCACGCAGCUGCUUGCUGGCUGGGCCUCGCUCGGACGUCCUCAUCCGCAUCACGCACUCCGUCGCGUGGAUAAAGCCCCGGGUGGCCGUGGUAUUUCCUUUCUUCUCUUUGAACCUCACCGUCGACAGCCACCAAUCGACGCCGAAAUUCACCGUCGCCUUAGCUCCUCCAUCCCCGAGCUCUUGCUCUCAACUCCGCCAAGAACCCAGCAAUCGAUUGCGCCCCUGAGCGCAAGCGCUAACCCCUCCUAGCCCGCAACCGAGCUGUUUCCCUCCGAUUCCAGCCGAAGUCACCGCCGUGGGUGCCUCACCGCGGCCAGCUCUUCUCCACCGCCGCUCUGUGUUUCGUUGAAGUCGCGGUGAGCCCCUGAAGCUUAUGCGCUGGUUGGUUCGCGUUCUACCCGCUUGCAGUGGCCGGUGCUCGCGCCGUUAGUCUCACCGUCCGCCAUGGACGCGGGCAGGAGAGUAGGAGGGAGUAGCACGUGCUUUGAACGCCUUAGUGGGUGCGCGUGGAGGCCGAGGGCUCACCGGCGCUGAGCCUGAGCUCACCGGAGUGGUGGCGGGAGGAAGAAGAAACUUCUGACGGGCGGGACCCGCCCGUCAGUGGCCGCGUGAGGAGGGCAGCGCCCGCACGCGACGCGGGAAGCUCUCGGGCCGACUUGGGCCGUGACCAAGUGGGCCGGCCGCGUAGCAUAGUGCGCUUUUUUCCUUUUCCUUUUUGUUUGAAAAUGCUUGAUUUGUAGAAUUGUGUAGAAAAUUGUAUACUAAUUCAAAAAUCAUGGAAAUUUUUGUAUAGAUUCCAUAAAAUGGAUAGAACAUAGGAAAAAUGUUAGGUGCUAUUUUCUAGUAGUUUGCAUGUGUAUAAAAAUUGCCUCUUUUAAUUAGUAAAUAAAACUUCUAUGAAUUUUAAUAAUUUAUUAAUAUGUCCAAAAAUCACCAAAAUUUGUGGGAUGCCUCUGAAAAUUAUUCCCUGGUUUCACCCAAAAUUUGGUAGCAUUUGGAUAACGUUUUAAUAAAAUAUUAUUAAACCCUUAGUUAGUAAUUAAAUAAUAAUUGUAGAAUAAUUAGAUAAUUAUUAGUUAAAUUCUCAAAAUUAGGGUUUGAGUGAUUUUGGGAUUGUGUGAUUUCCUGUGGUCAUUAACCUUAAUGACCUUUGGCAUUUAAUUAUUGUUUGGCAUUAAUGCUUAAUUACUGUCAUUAAUACUUAAUUAAGAAUUUAUUAAUAAUUAGUUAAUUUAGGAUAAUUAUGAAUUAAGAGAAAUCUUAGUUUACAAAUGCAACCUCUUGGGUAAAGACACUAAGAUGAUAAACAACUUUAAUUAUUGAUUAGUCUGUAUUGCACCGAGAAGGCCCGUUAUACUUAACUCGGUCCUUCUCAAAUAUUUGUCAUAUGCAUAUCAUGAGCAUUCAUCAUUUUGCGUAUAGUGCACGUGACCGAAGGAGCGACCGUUGAACCGAACCCCGAGGUCGGUGCUCCGUUCGAAGAAGUAGGAUCCAAGACUUGGGAAGUCUCCGAGGAACCCUCUCAGCUCUGCAACCAAGGCAAGCCCCGGAUGCAUUAACCCCUCCUUGAAUGUUUUAAAUCUUUUAUCACUUAUGAAUUGAAAAUGCUGCAUUAGGUAGUUGAGAAUUGGGUUAACCUACUUGUUGCAUUUACUACCUUGAUAUUUGUUAUCUUGUCCUUGGCACCUGUUUUAUUUUAAAAUCGCGUAGUGAUGCUUAGCCCUGCUACUAGAUAGGUUUUCAAACAAGAAAGUUUGAAGGGUUGUUGUGGAAUACACUUAUGAUCAAUGAUGUUUCAAUUUGAGACCGGUCGGUGGACUUGCUUUAAGAAUGGAGUCUUAAAGUAGUGUCUCCAACUGUGUCGGUUAAGGACCGGUCCGUUGGUGGCCUGAUGGGUUGAGAAUUUAUAGUACUAGCCACUUGCCCUCGGUAAGCCCGGUCUUGUGAUCCCUCGACGCGAACAGCUACUCGCGCACUAGGCGUGGAGCGAUGGCGAGAGUAGUGUGUACCCACCUUACGGAUCUGAGAUGACCGGAAAACAUCUAGAUCGGCUGUAGGAUGGUUGAGUACUGUGCUCUCGGGUGCCGCGAACCUAGUCAAAUUUGGGGAGAGCUUGAUUUGGGUUGACAUAUGCAAGAUUUGGUUCUACAUAUGUCGGGUGGUCAGGAACUCCAGCUGGAUUGCUAAGCGGUUCGAAUCGUCGUUGCUCCCCGAUUGGGAGACUCAAUCCACUGACCCUCAUCGUAGUUAAAUAUGCAACUAAGUGAUAAAAAGAAAAAGGGGAAAUGUCUCAUGAGGUUCGGAUCCCAAUUCCCGGACUCAGAGUGACAUGAAGCUAUGGCUGUUGGAUAGAUAAUACUUUGAUUAAGGACUAGGAACUCACAGACUUGUCUGUGAGAGGCAACUAGAUAGACUGUCCUCGAACUCCUCGACCUCUUAAGGAGAGGAAUUCGCGGGUAAAACUUGAAAGUAAGGAUGCACUAUUAGUAAGCUUUUUAGCAAAACACUUUGGUUCCUUGCUCAGCCACUCCUUGUCUACCCUAAGCCUGCAUUCCUACUUUCUCCUCUUUUUCCGCCGGGUAAGUCUUGUUGAGUACUCCCGUACUUAGGGUUUUAUAACCCCUGUUGCAGGUGAAGCUCAGGAGCCGACAUGUUUCGGACCCUGUUGUGUGUCCGUCGUCGAGGUUGACGACGAGGAAGAGUCAGCGUGACCCAUGGGUAGGGUCUGUAAAUUUGUAAUUGGUGUACUAAAGUUUAAGUUGCUCCGCUGGACCUGGCUUGUAAUAACACUCUACUAUUUGGAAGAACUACUUUUGUAAAUUAAGUUAUGUAAUACUUCCGCUGUUCUACUCUGAAAUAUUAUUUUGGUCUUGUGUCGUUUGUGAUACUGCAAUGUCUUCGCAACGAGUGAUCCUGGUGUUAAGGUGGCCACUUGCUAUCCUGUAAGGGAGAGAAGAAGAAGAAGUUCUCGUUAAUUGACCAUCGCUAGUGGUCAGGACGUGUUCGCUUGAUACUCCACAGGUAGCGAUGGAAUGAGCGUCCUGAGAUGCUCAUCGGACUUCUAGAGUGGGAGGAUCCCCGGCAUCACCGUCAGAGGUCCUUUGGACAAUGACAGGUGUCGGUGGGCCCAAACACUUAAGAGGUUCUGCCACAGUAAUCUGGUGGGAUGAAUGAUUUCCGUCCCAUUCUCCCGCGUCCAUCAAACCUUCCCUCAUGUCGUAAUGGAGGCAAACCAAUUGAUACCUGGUCUUUUAUAGGAGAUUAUUACAUAAUGGUCCUCCAGACUCAAUGGCCUCUUCUGUUGUGUACGCCUCUAUCAUGGAACCCUCCGGAUGAGCACGAUUUGACAUAUAGCCAUUCAAUAUUGACAUGAAACGCUCAUACAUCCACAUUUCAUGGAAAUACAUGGGACCUAAUGCCUCUAUUUGAGGUACCAAAUGAACAACAAGGUGUACCAUUAUAUCAAAGAACGAUGGGGGAAAGCACAUCUCCAACUGGCUCAAUGUCUCUGCAGCAAAUUUUUGUAGGGACUCUGACUCAUCACGGACAAUUACCUUCUCAGAUAUCUUAUUAAAGAAGUAGCACAAUCUUUAAUAACACUGGAUUUAUAGCCCUGAUGGCGAUAGGAAGAAAAGUGGUCAGCAUGACAUGACAAUCAUGUGAGUUGUAGUUGGUGAAUGUAAGGUCUUUCAUUGACACAAGACUUCUUAUGUUGGAGCAAAAACUAGAUGGAACUUUUAAAUUCUUCAACCACACACACAUUGCAUGUUUCUCCUCUCUGUUCAGGUUGUAGCUUGCUGCCCGUAGGUGGUACUUCCCAUUCUCUAGGAGUACAGGGUGAAGUUCUUUUCUGAUCUUUAAAUGUUGCAUGUCCAAACGUGAAUUGAGACCUUCCUUUGUCUUGCUCUUUAUGUCUAACAAGGUUCCAAUUACACUUUCAAACACAUUCUUCUGAACAUGCAUACCCUCGAUCGCAUGUCGUACGUCCAAGUCUUUCCAGUACGAUAAGUACUUGAAGAAAAUGGACUUCUUCUUGAAUGUGUCCCCUUCAUUUGCCUUGACAACCUUUCUUGGUUUCCCAUCUUUGGUCUUCUUUCCAAAAACAAACUUCACAUUCUCAACUAUCUUGUACACUCUAUGCCCUUUACUACAACCUGAUGGAGCAGUAGAUUUUGAUUCAUCAAUAUUGUUGAAGUACUUAUUCAUCUUUUGUAAGCGGUACUUAUGGCCUGCCGGUAGCCAUCUUCUUUGCCUCAUGUACACUAUCUUGUUAGAUACAGGAAGAGACACGUGCCAUGUUCCAUCUAUGCACUCUACACAACCAACCUUUCCCUUGAACUGGCCUGAUAAUGAGAAGAGAGCAGGGUAAUCAUUAAUUGUGACAAUAAUAAUUGCUCUCAAUGUGAAUGUCUCUUUGCGGAACGCAUCGAUCAUGUCCACACCUACUUCCCAUAGUGUUUGCAUGUCUUGCAUUAAGGGCUCUAGAAAUACAUCCAUAUCAACUCCAGGUUGUGUAGGUCCAGAAAUAAAAAUGGUUAGCAAAAGAUAUUUUCUCUUUUGACACAACCAUGAAGGAAGGUUGUAUAUUGUCAGGAUCACCGGCCAUGUGCUGUGCGUGCUGCUCCUUUCGCCAAAUGGAUUCAUUCCAUCAGUACUCAGUGCAAAACCUUACAUUCUAUGGAUCAUCAGCAAAGUCUGGAUAUUUCUUAUCAAAAUGUUUCCAUUGCUUUGCAUCGGCUGGAUGUCGUAACUUUCCAUCAUCUUUCCUUUCAUCCGAAGCAUGCCAGAUCAUAAGUUCAGCGUCUUCAGGGUUUGCAAACAAACACCUCAAACGAUCAACCAUGGGGAGAUACCAUAUCACCAAAGCAGGAAUUCUUCUCAAUGCAUAAUAGUCCACUUCUUCAUUGCUACUAGGCUUCGAGCGUUUGUCUUGUUGAGUCUUUGUUUGGGUCUUCUUUCACUUCCUCCCUGUAGAAACAGAGGCUAGAUUCUCUUCCUCCCGAUAAUCUUUGUUUGUCUUAUAUCUACUGACACCACAGUUUGGACAACUAUCUAAGUCUUUAAAUUGAUCACCCCGAUAUAGAAUACAAUGAUUUCUACAUGCGUGGAUCUUCUCAACACCUAUCGUAAGUGGACUGACUAGCUUCUUUGCAUAGUAUAUGUUAGCAGGCACUUUGUUCUCCUUAUGAAGAAGGUCUCCAAGUACACGCAAGAAAUCAUUGAAGCUAGCAUCGGACCAACCAUGUCUAGCCUUCAUCGUCAAAAACUGAAGAACAACACAUAAUGUCGACCACUCUUUGGUACCACCAUUCGACUCGUCGUACAAAGUGUCCUCUGCUGCCUUCUUCAAUGCUUCCAUUCCCUUCAUGAAGAAUAUUGAUGGAUCUGCACAACGGUUCAUUAUUGCCUCUAAGAAAUCUGCAUCUUCAACAGCAUCUGUGUUAGCAUGCUGGUUCAUUGACAUCAGACGUAUGAGUUUCAUUGACAUCUGGCAUAGCAUGAAAUUCAUUGAGAGGUGGCAUUUGAUCCUCCACAUUAAUGUUAGUUGCAGUGUUGUCUGUUGUCCGCAUAUAAGGUACAGAACUACCCUCACCAUGUUUUGUCCAAAUCAAGUAGUCCUCCAUAAAUCCUCUACAAACCAGAUGGGAAGUAAUUGCUUCUAUAUUGUCAAAUACCACAAUAUUUUUGCAGUCUGCGCAUGGACAACAUAUGUGCUUCGCCUUUGUUUUGCGAGCAUGUAUCUUUGCAACAUCAAUAAAUUUUUGGACCUCCACUACAUAUGAUGGGUCCAAUCUUGAUAAGUUGUACAUCCAUAAUGACCUCUCCAUAUUUAGCUGUAAUUAGUUAAGAACAAUUAAUGUAGGUCAAUCUAAAAACAAAACUAAUAUAACUCCUGAAAACAGAUUUAACUAAGAUACUAACCUCCUUCUACUAAACAGAGAUGAAAACCUACCCCUUACCAAGUUUACAAUUUAUGGAAUUUAAAUAAUUGUUGAAGCUCAUUUUCAAAAAUAUAAGAAAUAAUUUUAUAAAAUUUAGGUAUAAUUCAAGGAUUUCUAUGAAGUAUUUAUGCACAAAGAUUUGAAAAAGUAUUUAUUUGCCAUUCUAUGAUUUUCAACAUUUUAAUGUUUGAGUUUAUAAAGUCUAAUUCAUCUGAAAAAGAAAAGUUAAAACUGAAUCAAAAUUAUAAACUUCAAAAUGUCCUCAUCAUUACUCUAUUGUAUAGAUCUUCUCACCAAAAUUCUAAAAAGUAUUUAUUUUCUAUUUUUUUAAUUUCUACAAUUUACUAUGAAUUUACAUAAAAAUUUAGCUAAAACUCUCUCUCUUGCCCUAUGAACCCUAACGCUAAGCAAGAAUGCUUCAUGAACUCUAGAUCUAGAGCACCUCCAAUACAAGAAUUGAACCAAAGAAUCACUAAAAAAAUAGCAUCAAGCGCUCCAACUAACCGUUUGGAAGUUUCUCACCAAAGAAAUGAGGAUCAAAACCUCCCCCUUUGGAAACUGGAAUCGUCUGGUCCGCCUGGUCCGUGAGCUCACGGGAGUAACUGUUCUUGUCUGGAGGUGGACGAAGGGUAUUUAUAGCAGACUUAGCACAAGCGGCUCAUAAAGAGGGCCGCCUGUGUAAAUACAAUAGCACAGGCGGUCCUCUAUACAAACCGCCUGUGUAAACGGACACAUUUACACAGGCGGUUGUCGUAAUUCUGCCGCCUGUGUUAUACACAGGCGGUUUGUAUUGUAAGCCACCUGUGUAAAUGUGAAGUUUACACAGGCGGUGUAGUUAAGAAGACCGCCUGUGUAAACAUGUUUACACAGGCGGUUUUCUUGUUGGGCCCUCUGAAAUUUUUCUACUAGCGCCAUGAUAUUGUGAACCGCCAGUGAAAAAAACAACGUGCCCGCAAAAACGAUUUUUGUACUAGUGCAAUCCAAAGGCUAGCUAGCGCUUGUCAACGUACAGUCAUCUUUAAUAAAAGUUUUAUGAUACAGUUUUCAACAUAUUCAUAUUUGAGAAAUAGUGCAUAGGAGUUUUAUAGGGAUGAAACUCUCUCUACUUCCAUAAAACUCUUAUCACCUCUCUCAUCAUUAAUAUAGCGCUACAUCAGCAUAUUUAAUGUGUAUGAAACUCUAAUGAAACCUCAUUGAGACUGGCCUACUACUAUAGCUCCACAUGCAUGCAUUAUUUUCCUUGUACAGACGUAGUUUAUAUUUGAACGCUGCGGCACCACUACAAUCAAAUCGCCAAAUCCUUUGUUGACAUUUUAAGCAUAACUUGUGGAGCCAAUGGAAUAAAUGAGAUGAUAACACAAACAAAACUAGUUAUAUGUACAAUAAUAAGAGGUGAUGGAGAAUUAAUUUAGACAUUGGUCAGUCAGUGCAUGUUUAAAAGUUUGAGAAACAACUGAAACUUUUUGGUAGCCUUUGCAUCUAAGUUUAUCAUGAAUUAGUAGGCAACAUUUUUGUAGUGGUAGAUGCGCGCGGGUGUAUGUAGUGUUCGAUUCAUCCAUGCUUGAAGUAAAAUUUUAUAUAAAAACGUUACGAGUGGAAUGCCAAAGUACGAGAACAGAGAGGAAGUAAAAUGAACUCAGUGUAUUUCUUUAUUCAUUGAUCACGAUAUUAUACAAGUCAGAGGGGAGGGGAAACACUCCCCCCAAGUAAGCUCAAAGCCCACGAUGAGUUGUUGACGGUUCUUAAGUAUCAAUUUUAAUUAUCAAAUAAACAAGAGAAAGGACCAAUAUGCAACCAGCAUAUAGAAUUAGGGUUUGAUCUGACAGAAUUCCACGAGUUUUGUUGUUUAUCUAUUUCUGCAGGGGGUUAUCAUGAAAUAAGGAAGAAAGGCCCACAUGUCAGGAUUACACAGAGAUAUCAACGCACCGCGCAAUUUUACAUCAUCUAGAAGACUCCAGAAGCCAUGAGACCGAAGCGGAGGCGAAGCUGGGCCAGGCCCAGGGCGCCCGCCCUGGAAGCCUGGGCGCCCGCCCCCCUUCUGGAGCCAAUUCAGGACUCCUUCGCUCGGGAUAUUCCACCGACCUAUUGGAUCAAGAAAAACAUAGUACCACCUCGGCUAUCGACCCAAAAACGCAUAGAAGGGGAGGACUAUAUAAGCGAGGCCCCCCUGGCCCCUGGAAUACAUGAAGAAAUUAUCAUAGAGACUGAGGGGUGCCCUCGAAGGAAAACCUCUUCUCUAAUUAAUAUUUCUUUUUAGGCUUAGCAAUCAAUGUAAGGUAGAAAUAGAUCUUCUAGUUUCUACUAGAUUGAGAGAUAUAGAGUGGAGGUGUAGAGUGGAGGAAGCCCGGCCUGUCGGUGUCUACUCCAAGCUUGUACCUGCGGGAUCAAGUUCUCCUAACCCGAAGCUUGCUCCUAGGAUUCUUCAGUAAUUCGACUUCUAAAUUCUAGUAAGUUCUUGUUUAUUGUUCUUAUGGUUUAUGGGUUUACUUUAAUCUCUUCGCGUAGAGUUUAGAGUAAUCAUUGCUGGCGUAAACGUGGUGUUUAGGCUGGGGUACUCAUAGAUAUUCCCUGACUAGCUGGACCGUGGUAGUAGUGAGGAACGUGACAUUUCCGAGCUACCUUUGUAGAUCACAUCUCGUUAGCAGGAAGGAUAGGGUUUAUAGGUGCGGGUCGAACAUCCUUUGUGGUGUCUAGAUUCCGUUAGCCUCCCCAUUAGAACAGUAUAUCAUCCUUACCAAGGUUAGAAGGAGACUACAGUUGCAGUCUUCUCUAUUUAUCACUCACAUCGAAAGACAUUCUUUGUGCCUAAAGGUUAGUAGUAAUAGACCGGUUAGUCAGAUGCACUCUUUCUCCUAGUGGUAAAAAAAUAAAUACGAUACUCUGGAUAAUUUCCCGGGUGAAAUGCUCACCGAUAUCCGUGCGCUUGCGGAUCAAUUCCUUAUUGCGUUCCCAAAUAUCAACAAGCAUUUCUGGCGCCGUUGCCGGGGAGAAAGACGGUUGCUGAGAUAACCUGUGUCUUGCUAUUAGCUUGUAUCUAUACUUUUAUCUUUUCUUAUCUUUUAUAUUCUUUAUUUAUUUUUCUUUAUUCUUACCUUAUGGAAAACCAAAAUUCUAAAUCGAUCCAUGAGUCUGCAAUCCCUUUAGCAACUGACCUUUUACCAUGGGAAUCAUCACAGCCUAUCCAAACAUCCCAGUAUAAGUUAAGUUCUAGGUUGAUUGCCAUGAUUCAAAACCUAUCUUUUUCGGGAAAGGAAGACGAAAACCCUUACCUUCAUAUUAGAGAUUUUGAGCAAACAUGUGAUUGUCUUCGCAUUGAAGGCAUUUCUGAUAAGACUUUACGUUGGAAGCUUUUUCCUUUUUCUCUAAGGGGAGAAGCUAGACAAUGGUACAGUCAGACGGUAAGUCAACAACAAGGUGAAUGGGGAGUCUUACGAGCCAACUUUUGUCUAGAUUUCUAUUCCCUUGACCGUAUAGCCGACCUUAGACUCGAAGUCCUAUCUUUUAAACAAAAAGAUAAUGAAACUUUGGGAAAAUCCUGGAAACGUUUUUCUGAUCUUUUAGAAUCUGGUCCAAACCUUAAUCUUGAAGACCCUGUUCUUUUAUUUCACUUUUUUCGAGGUCUUCAUAAAAAUCACAAAAAAAUGCUACACACAAUGUCUAGAGGUUCUUUCUUUCGCAUCCCUGCUGAUGAAGCUAGAGUGAUCCUAGAUAGAAUCCUAGAAGCUGAGAUGGAUAAUACCCUUCAUGAUGAAACCUAUGAAGCCGAAGUAGACACUCUGCCAAAUUUUUCAUCUACUUUAGCUAUCCCAAGUUCUGAGCCACGAGAGGAAGAAAUUCCACUACCAGACUUCAUGCUGGAUAUAGAAUCCGAUCUUUUUGCCGAUUUUGGAAAUAUUUCAAACUACCAUUCUAUUGACAAACCCCAAAACGGCUAGUCUAGCAUUUAUUUACCAAGUGAAUAUCAAUUGAGAGAGCUUAUCUCAGUGAUGAGUAGCGAAUGGUUGGAGGAAUCAGAGCUUUCCUCUGAUGUGAUCCGUUUGGACACACCCUCUAUAACUAUACGCUGUGCUUAUAACUCUGAUCGAUUUAAUUCUCUUUAUAAUCCUGUUGUGGGGAUCAACAUUAUGUCUGAAUCUUUUGCACUUAAACUAUUUAAAAAUCUUGUCUUAACCCCCACAACAAAGGUCAUAAAGGAAUCUUCGGGACGAUUAGUCCCCAGUCUUGGAAUUAUUAAUGUCCUACCUCUUACGGUAGAAGGCUCCAUGGUUCAUUUGAACUUCUAUAUCUUUGAUACAUGGGACUUCGACAUAUUGAUAGGACAAACUUUUAGAAGACUCCUUUAUGAAGGUCAUACUAGAAAGCUACACAUUUCUUUUGGAAAAACUUUUCAAUUCCCAAUGAUAAUUUCACACUCCUUAAAUAAUAAGGCCGAGUCAUAUCUUUUGCCUGAUCCUAUGGAGGAGGUAAAGGCUGCAUCUCUAGAGCUUUUAGAUGAACCAGACUUAGAAGACGAAACUCCUUUCUUCACAGAAGAAGAAGACGAACCUUCUGAGCCUGAACCCUUAGAUGAGUUUCAGAAACACCUAGACCCCCUAUAGAGCUUAAAACUUUACCACCCGGUCUUACCUAUGCUUUCCUAAACAAUAAUCCAGAGUUCCCUGUGAUCAUUAGCGAUAAACUCACUCAGGAUCAAACUCUGCGAUUAAUGACCAUUCUUGAGAAACAUCACUCAGUUUUUGGCUACUCACUUCAAGACCUUACAGGAAUCAGUCCUAUGAUUUGUACCCAUCGUAUUCCAACAGAUCCUUCUGUUACACCCUCUCGAGAACCCCAACGUAGACUUAACAACACUAUGAGAGAGGUAGUUAAAAAGGAUGUUAUAAAGUUGCUGCAUGCAGGGAUUAUAUAUCCUGUGCCGCACAGUGAGUGGGUAAGCCCAAUACAAGUUGUGCCUAAAAAGGGAGGCAUGACAGUUUUUAUGAAUGAAAAGAAUGAGCUAAUUCCGCAACGCACCGUCACAGGAUGGCGGAUGUGCAUAGACUAUAGAAAAUUAAACAAAGCCACGAGAAAGGAUCACUUUCCUUUACCUUUCAUAGAUGAGAUGCUAGAGCGGUUAGCAAACCAUUCAUUCUUUUGUUUCUUAGAUGGAUAUUCAGGAUAUCACCAAAUCCCGAUCCAUCCUGAUGAUCAAAGCAAAACCACCUUUACAUGCCCAUAUGGAACUUAUGCUUACCGUAGAAUGUCUUUUGGGUUAUGUAAUGCACCAGCUUCUUUUCAAAGAUGCAUGAUGUCUAUAUUUUCUGAUAUGAUUGAAGAGAUUAUGGAAGUUUUCAUGGAUGAUUUCUCUGUUUAUGGAAAAACUUUUGAUAGUUGUCUUGAAAACUUAGACAAGGUUUUGCAAAGAUGUGAAGAAAAGCACUUAAUCCUUAAUUGGGAAAAAUGUCAUUUUAUGGUUAGAGAAGGAAUAGUGCUAGGACACUUAGUGUCUGAAAGAGGGAUCGAGGUAGACAAAGCUAAAAUUGAAGUAAUUGAACAGCUACCUCCACCUGUGAAUAUAAAAGGAAUUCGAAGCUUUCUUGGCCAUGCUGGUUUUUAUCGUAGAUUCAUAAAAGAUUUUUCAUUUAUUGCUAGACCACUUACUCUUUUGCUAGCCAAGGAUGCUCCUUUCGAAUUUGAUGAUGCAUGUCUAACAUCUUUCAAUUUAUUAAAGAAAGCACUCAUCUCUGCACCAAUCAUUCAACCCCCUGAUUGGUAGUUGCCUUUUGAAAUUAUGUGUGAUGCUAGUGAUUAUGCUGUGGGGGC
This 71777-nucleotide long non-coding RNA is filed under the name Sorghum bicolor (sorghum). Its description in RNAcentral is "long non-coding RNA (SBIC_LNC004688)". The stretch from base 12316 to 12422 matches the Rfam family "Plant small nucleolar RNA R71". Lineage: Eukaryota; Viridiplantae; Streptophyta; Magnoliopsida; Poales; Poaceae. The record is from RNAcentral.